GCAGGUGAUGCAUAGCACAGGAAAUUGUUGGUAGCUUGAAGAAUGGGUUGUAGCAGGUUGUCUUUGAUUUUACCUCUUCUGCUUCUGACAUUUUCAUCCAUGAUAAUUCACUCCAGGGUUGCAGAGGCUCGUCUCCUACUAAAACACCUCUUUCCACCGCAUUCUCAAGAUGGUUUACCGGUUUUUGAUUUUGGCUUAAUCCCAAGUUCCACAUCGGUGGAUUCAUUGUUUGGAAAGGAGGUUUGAAGAUUAUAAAUUAAACUCUCCUUCUUCACUGUCAUAUAUCCCAAUUUGUAAUAUCUUUUUCCAUAAUAAUAAAAGUGAAUUGUUUUCGUUGUGCUCGUAGAUUAGGUUAAAUUGACCGAAUUCCGUUAACAAUUUUUUAGUGUAUUUUUUCUCUUUAUCUCUUUUAUUAUUCUGCUCUGUUUAUUCAAUAUUAUUUGUCGGAUAGCUCUGUAAGGAUUCUGUUUUAUGAAAAAAUUAGCCGUUUUUCCCAACGUGCCACUCCCAGAUAUCCCCAACCUCCUCCCACAUCCCAAGAUAACAGUUGCAGGCGUCAAAAUAAUCCCAUGACACUUCCUCAAACUGUUUCUUCUUCUUCCACUCCCAAGCUGCUUCUCUUUUAUGUUUCCUUCAAUUACAUGUAAUCUUCAGUUCAUAUGUUGUUUCAGUCAGUUUGGUUGAAGCUGUGAUUUGUAAGAUUGUAUCAGACUUCUUGUCUUCUACUUCAAUGAAUUCUGUAAUUUCUUUCUCGUACAAAUCUUCCAUUUCUGAAUACUUUCACAGUUGUGGAGGCACAAGUUUCUUUCAAUAUCUCCUAAUUAUGCUAUUUUUUUAGCUCCGUCUGUUUUCUCUUUCGUAGGAUUCAUUCACCCUCUACAGACAUUCUUUUUGUCAUCAUGGCUACUAAUUUUCAUCAUUCUUUACAAAUUCCAACUAAAAUUAUAUUCUUACAUCGAUUCUUCUAAGAUAUAUACACAUCCAAUAUUCUUACCUUAAAACUACAAAUUAAUUUGAUGUGAUCUGAAUGACUAAUUAUGUUAUUAUUAGUAAAUGGAAGACUCAAAUCUCUUACUUAGUCUUAACUGUAUCUGAUGCUGAAAAUCAUAUUUGAACUAAAAUUAAAAUAUUUCAUAAUAUAUAAAAAAUACAAACUUUAUUAUAAAUUGGUUGUUUUAUAAAUUUAAGUGUGGCUGGAAACAAUUUGGAGCCAGACAUCUCUACUAACAGUAGGUUUUGCAACAACCUAAGAUUUUGAGAUAUGGAAAUCAAGAUAUAUGUGUUCACAAAGCCUUUCCAAGAACACACAUUACAUUCUAUCUUUUAAGAUAUUUAAAGUGCAAGAAUUUAAAACAAUAAUGUUUAUGUAAAAUAAAUUUAUAUAGGAAGUGUACUCUUUUUUUUUUCUCAUGAAAGGAAUAUAGUUUAUUUUAUUAGAGAGUUUUUUUUAUAUUUUAUGCUGUUAUUUUGGGUAUGUAAUUAUUUUUUAUAAUCAUCUUAUCUUUGGUGUUUGGUAUUUUUUUUUAAUAAUGAUGUUUCCUAUUGUAUUAUGUGUGUAUAGGGGUUGGAAUAUUCUUUAAAUACUUAAAAUAAUUCAUUUAUUCUUAGUAAAAAAAAUAUAAGAACUAUACUUAGCCACAAUCAUACACUAAAAUUAAAUAAUAAAGAUAAUGAUUAAAUAUUCUUAAUAUAACUAAUGAUUAAAUAAUAUUAAUAAUAAUUUUUUUAAAGCCUUCUUAUCUUAACCAUCAUAAUUUGAGAAAGACCUAUAAGAAAUACACAUUUAAUCUUUUAUAUCUUAUACUCUAAUAUUUCUUUGAUUUGAGUGUAGAAUUAUCUUCUAUUUUCGACCAAUAUCUUGAAAGUUCAAUCUAGAGCGCUAAUCUUAACAGAAAUAAAUUGUUAUGAAUUAUUCGUCGUAAUAACAUAACAACAUAACGUAGAAAAUUAUAUAAAAACUGGUAAAGUGUACAAGUUAUAGGAAUGUUAUCUGCAUAGAGAUUCAAAUACUUUUUUUUUUUAAAUUAGUGUUUAUAAAAUUUUACUUUUAGUUUAUAAUAUUUUAAAAAAUAAUAUAUUUUUAAGGUAUUUUCGGUCAUGAUGAAUAUGAAAAAGAUACUCUAACAUUUAAGUAAGUACUCUCUGUAAAUAAUGUAUACUGUAUUGAUUAAGGCGUAUUUUGCACUUAUGUAAAUGAUUUAUUUAUAGUGUUUAGUUAUAAUCUCUUGUUGUGAUGAGUCGAAUCAAUUAAAUAUCAGUUGCUAAUUGAUUUAUAACAUGAUUCAUAAUUUAUAGAGAUGUAUAUUGGUAUGUUAGUAUAUUAGUAUAUUGAUGUUAUCUUAGGACAUAAUCAUAAUUCGUAAAGAGUUUUCAUAAUUAUCAUUGUUGUCAUAAUUCAUAAGAAGUUUGGUCGGUUAUUUUAUAUAAUUUAUAAAGAUUAAAGAUGAGAUAAAUAAAAUAAAGAUUAAAUUUAAAAAAAGUAAAACAUAAUUCUGGUUACCCAAUGUCGCUAUCUGUGUAGCAGAGUCGAAGAUGUUAUGCAUGUGGGUGAUUUGGCAGGGACAAAGAAACUUUUCUCAAAACAAAAUGAAAGAAGGACCAAUUGUACGGUGGGAAAAUGAUACGUGAGUUUGGAAUUACAAGGAGGCCUUUUUCAUUGAACUGAAAAAAAAAAUGUAGUCAUGGUAUUUGGUUCACUUUAGUUGGAAGGUGUUUCUUGGUUGAACGUUGAUAAGGCGCUAGCUAUUUAUGUAUAAGGGUUGGAUCACUCCUAAAAUGGUUUCCAUUUAUUUAUUUUUUAUUGUUGAUAAAAAAAAUGGUAUUAAAAAGAAUUUAUACUUAGUUUAACUGUGAAUACCUAUCCUAAUAGAAGGCAAUAAUGGGUAUCCAUGUGCAGCAUGAAUUUUAAUAAUCUAUACAUGGGACAUGUUAUUUCUGAUUUCAUUGUUUUUCAUAGAAAAAGCACAAUUUUUUUCAUAUCAACGUAACCUUAAUUAUCUUUUUCUCAACUCUUGUGAACUUAACCUUCAAAGAUGGCAUCUCAGGUAAAAAAAAACAUGUAUUUUCAGGACAUGUGUUUUUAUCGUAUUUCAAUGGAUAGUAGAUUGACAAUAAUUUAACUGUGGCUGGAAACAAUUUGGAGCCAGACAUUUCUACUAACAGUAGGUUUUGCAACAACCUAAGAUUUUGAGUUGGAAAUCAAAAUAUACCUGUUCACAAAGCCUUCCAAGAACACACAUUACAUUUGAUCUUUUAAGAUAUUUAAAGUGUUAUUACAGGAGUUUAAAACAAUAAUGUUUAUGUAAAACAAAUUUAUAUAAGAAGUGUACCUUUGGUUCUGAUGAAAAGAAAGAUAGUUUAUCCAAAAAGAGGUCCUUUUUUUGUGCCCUAAAUUGUUAUUUUGUGUAUGUAAUUACUUUAUCUUUAUAGGAGACAGGUGUUUGGUGUUUUUUUUUUAUUUAUAGAAAAUGAUAUUUCUUGCAUUGUAUUUUGUGUGUAUAGAGUUGAGUAUUUCUUAAAUACUUAAAAUAAUUUAUUUAUUCUUAGUUGGUAAGAAAAAAAAGUAAAAACUAUACUUAUACACUAAAAUCGAAUAUUAAAUAAUAAAAUAAUGAUUAAAUAUUCUUAAUAUAACUAAUGAUUAAAUAAUAUUUAUAAUAACUACUUUAAAACCUUCUUAUUUUAACCAUAAUAAUUUGAUCAAUAGGAUUGGAACACUCUGAAAUAUUUUCCUUAAUUAUAUUUAUUUUUUAUUGAUAAAAAAAAUAUCAUAAUUUAAAAAAGACCUACAAAUAUAAGAAAUACAUAUUUAAUCUUUAAUAUUUCAUACACUAAUAUUUCUUUGAAUUGAGUGUAGAAUUCUCUUCUAUCUUCUACCAAUAUCUUAAGAGCGCUUAUACUAAGAGAAAUCAAUUAUUAUGAAUUAUUCGUCUUAAAUAACAUAACAACAUAAAGUAGAAAACUUAUAUAAAAGCUGGUAAAGUAUAUAAGUUAUAGGAAUGUUAUCUGCAUAGAUAUUCAAAUCAUUUUUUUUAAUUAGUGUUUAUAAAAUUUUAUUUUUAGUCUAUAUAUGUUGCGGUUAAUAAAGUUUCAAAUUACUUAAAAGUUAAAGUUGGAACAGUUUAAAUACAUAUUAUUAUUGGAGUGUUUUUUAAGAACAAUAUUUUUUUAUCGACAAUGAUAAAAUUAUAAUGGAAUACCAACCUUUAAAACAAUAUCUAAAAAUUAAGGUUGGAAUAUUGAUGUCAUCUAUCUAUCCCUAAAGAGAUAUUAAAGAAUACGGAUACCCAGAGUUAUAGAAGGAUCCUAAUAUUAAUUGAGUGUCUUUACUAAUUAUCAGUUGUUUCUCUUUAUAAAGGAGAAUAAUUGGGUGUCUUUUCUAAUUAUCAAAACAAUCAAUGACUGCUGAUUUUAGUGUGUAUUUUGGGAAUUCUCUCAUAUUUUGGGAAUUAAAGAAGCAAGGAACAAUAUCAAAAAGUUCUUGUGAAGCUGAAUACAUGUGAAAUUCAAUGGCUAACUUAUCUUCUUCAAGAUUUUAAAGUUCUUUUUGAGCAAUCAUCUCUUUUAUAUUGUGACAAUGACUCAGCAAGAUACAUUGCAGCAAAUCCAGUGUUUUACGAACGUACAAAACAUAUAGAAAUAGAUUGUCAGGUGGUCCGGAAAAAAUUAAAGAAGGGUCUCAUCCAUCUACUUCCUAUUUCCACCACAGAGCAACUGAAUAAUAUUUAUACCCUAAAGCUUUAAGUCCUCAACCUUUGUAAAGGAGAAUAAUUGGAUGUCUUUUCUAAUUAUCUUUAUCUACUUGUAUAUAUUCAGACCAUUUGUUUUGAUUUUAAUAAUAAGAAAGAAGAGAUAUUCAUUCUCAUAUCUUUAUUUUCAGUUUAUUCUUUUGUUCAUCUCGGUUAUAUUUUUUAAUAAGAGAAACUAAAACAACUAUUUUAUAUAAUUUGUAGAGAUUAAAGAAGAGAUAAAUAAAAUAAAGAUUAAAUUUUAAAAAAGUAAAACAUAAUUCUGGUAAGGUAGUGUCGCUAUCUGUGUAGCAGAGACGAAGAUGUUAAGCAUGUGGUUCCGUUUUACAAAAACAAAAGAAAGAAGGACCAAUUGUACGGUUGGAAAAUGAUACGUGAAUUUGGAAUUAUAAAGAGGCCUCUUUAAUUGAAAUGAAAAAAAAAGUACGAAUUUGAGGUGCCACAUUUCUUUUCUAUAAUAACAUUUACAACUAUAUAUUGAACUUCUUAGACUGAGAAUGAAAAUACAAAUAUUUAAAACUCAUAAAAAAUAAAUUAUAGUUAAUUAAAUAAAUAAAUGUUUUCUUUUAACGGAAAAUGAUAGUUAAUUAAAUAAAUAAAUGUGCAUACUAAAUUGUAAUUUCCGACAGUUUUAAACAUAAAAUUAGUACUCUCUUUUUAAUAUCAUAAAGCAAAUUUAAAUGUUUACCUUUCAGUACAGAAAUUUUGUAAAACAUUAUAUAUAUAAUUGACAAAUUAAAUUCUAUUAACACUAUUUAUUCUUCUAUUUCUGUAUUGUCUUAAAACGAAUUAUUUUUCAAAUGGUUGGUUACUAUUUCUUAAAGGAUAUUUUAAUGAAUAAUAUAAGUUACUCUACUUUAAUUUAUUUUUCAAGUAUAAUGGAUAAGAAUUCUAAAAAUACUAAUUUUAAUAAUAAAUUCCUUGUAAAAUUAAUAAUUUUAUUUGAACUUUGGAUUUAAAGAAAAUAGUAUCUAAUAUCUUUUUACUAUUUUAAAAAAAUUAUCUCUCCUUAGUUCACAUUCUGAAUCUCGUAAAAGGCAUCAUCAACAAGUUUCUCAUUCUUUAAUAAGUGUUUUGAAUCUUUAAAAUAUAUGCACUCAAUUAAAAGUUGUUGAUAGAAUUGCGGGAUUGGUCCUUGAACUUAAAGUUGCUUUUGACAAAAUAGAUAGUUGAAGUUUUUUCUUGAGUUCUAUGUCUCUUUUGUUUUAUAUGAGAAUUUGACAACCCUUAAAAUGGAUCACAUUUAUUUUAUUUUUUUGUUGCCGAUAAAAAAAAAUUAUUUUAAAAAUACAAGUAUUUACAUAAAUUUUAGUAGGUAAACUUUUAGUAGAUAUUACAGCUGGUUCCCUCCCUCUUUCAAGAAAUAUGUGUAUAUAGUAACAACAACAUUUGAACUACUUACAACUAUCGGUUUGGUUGGAGUUGAAAUCAUUAGAAAAUUAAAAUGAAUUUGAGUGAGUUUGACUGAAUCUUCAUAUUGGGUGGAGAAGUGAGUUAGAUGAACGAACUGAAUUCUUAGGUAUUCAAAGGAAGGUGAGCUAACAAAAACAUCUUCACCUUUAUAUAAGAAGCAAGCACUAUUCUUAAGCCUCUCAUACAAUCUAUCUACACACCAUUUUCAUAUACUUUCACUUCAUUCAGCUAUGGCCUCAUCAACUUCAUCACUCAUCACAUUUUUUCUUCUUUCUCUCAUCUUCUCAACCAUGGAUAUUGGUCAGGCAUCUCGCCAUCUUCUGCAAACAACAGCACCAAAUUUACCAACCAUUCCCUCUUUGCCUACAAUCCCAACACUGCCACAACCAUCUCUUCCAACCAUGCCAACUCUUCCACAGUUCACUCUUCCGCCACUUCCUGCCACUGUACUCCCCACAAUCCCAACCACUAUCCCCUCCUUUCCCUUCCUGUCACCACCACCUUCAGCCACCACCUCUCCCUGAAUGAACAAGCUACACUCCUUGGAACUUGAGUCUUCCUUUCAGUCAUCAUUAUAGCUUCAUUUCCUGUUGUUUGAUCGAUAUACUGAUCAUGAUAUUAUACAUUUUUCCCUGUAUGUGUGCGUGUGUAUUUUAUCUUUCCCUUCCUGUGUGCUUUCAUCUUGUAUACUUACCAUAAGAUUGUUGUUGUUUUUUCUUCUAUUUUGUUACUUGUUUUCUUUUCUCAAUGAAUAAUAAAUAUGAAACAAACUUUUAUGGUAUCUCAACUUUUAUAUAACAAAAAUCAACAUUAAUAUUUUAUCUUAUAUAAAGAUAAUAGAUAAAUCAUCCUAAGAAGUCUCAUUCCAAAUAACAUAAAAAAAACUAACGCAUAAAUAAUCCAAUAACAAUAACAUGAAUAAACUUUGUCAUCCACAAACUUUAAUCAAACAGACUUUAAUCAUAUGCAAACACAAAGUUCGUAACAACGAACUUAAAAAUAAUUUAUACCCACUUCUAAUCUAUUAAGAAACACUAAAGAUAUAAAAAAUAUAUAUAUAAAAAAAAAUAGAAUACAAUAACAAAUCCUUCCUUACAUAUUAAAAUAAUUCUAAUUAUCAUUGAGAGAGCAACUAUUACUCCUGUACUCAUCAUCUACAUUUAUAAGAUACAUCUUGUAAAAGAUAAUUCGCGAGUUACAUGAUAGAAAUAUAUACACACAAAACUGUUUUACCAAGUUGCAUCCAUUGGAGUUAUUUGUAUUCCAAAGGUAACAUAAUUUGAUAAAAUAUAAACACAAGGUUCAAUUUAUAUGAUGGCUUAUACAUACCUUAUUGAAAAAGUAUCAAAAACUUUAACUAAAUUGGUGAAUAGUAAGUCGAUUACAAUAUGAAUUUUUUAUAUUUUUUUUCAUAUUACAAUAAAAAAAAUAAUAAAGGGUUAAAGUUUCGGAUUUUAAUUUUACAAAUUUUUCUUUAAAAAAACAUGUGUGAUAAUUACUAAACGGAUAUUUAAUUACAUCAAUCAUUAACUAAGUUUAAAAAAUAUAAUUAAACAAAAAAAAUUGUUUUAAGAUUGUUACGCUUUUAUUGUACUAAAAACGAAAAUAUAUUAAUACUUAUUCUAUUCAACCUAUUACUUAUUUAAUAAAAUUUUACUAAGUGAAUUUUGUUAGUGUGUGUCUGUUUUGGUGAAUGAUAAGUGACAGCUUAAUGCUUACUUUUUCUUCUUAAAUUUAAUAGAUAUUUCACUACAAAUUUUUAAAUAAAAACUAAUUUAAAAUAAAAUUUUUAAAUAAAAAACUAAUUUAAAAUAAAAAAUAAUUAGUCAGUAUAUUAAUUAAAUUAAAUACUAUUUAAUCUGUUUCGAAACCUAAUUAGCAGUCCUUUAGUUACAUAAAUUAAUUUUUAUAUUUUGUAAUAAAUUUCCCAACAAUUUUUUUUAUAGAAAAAUAAAAUAAGUUUCUUGAUGAAAUACAUAUAAGUUAAAUUUUACAAAGAAGAAACAAUUGUCUCGUAUUACGAAUUAAAUAAAUAACUUAAAAGCCUUUUUCCCUAUUUUUUUUGAAUCUAUUCAUAGUAUCAAACUCCAGUAACAUACUAUGUGGGCCAAGGGUGACACCUGGAGAAAUGGGCCUAAAAUUCUUGUUGGGUCUUUCCUAUGACAGCAACAAUAGGUUUUUCUCCUUGCAACUCCGUAAUUUCUUCUCUCACCCUCAUAGUAUUAGAAAUGAUUAAGGUGUUAUUGUCUUAAUAACUCAAUCAAUUUAAAAUUAUGCUCUAAAAUAUGUAAUUCAAGUCAAAUUAAAUAAUUUAGAAUUAUCCGAAAUAUAUCUUGAAUCAAAUAAUAUGGAAUAACUACUUCUUGGAUUACAUAAUUUGAAACUAUAUCCAAAAUUACAUAAUCUUGUUUCCAAUUACGCAAUAUUAAAUAUUGUUCUGAAUCACCUAAUUAAGAAUCAUAUCUCAGACUGUGUCAUCAUGUUUUGAAUUACAUAACUUUAUUCCAAUUGUGUGAUUUUAUUCUAAAUUACCUAAUCUUAUUCUGAUUAUACAAUUCAUAAUAUUGUUCUAUAUUAUUAAACAAUCAUUUGUAUUACACAAUCUUAUUCCAAUUAUGUAAUCUUAUUUGGGAUUAUACCAUUAUAUGGUGCUCAUCAAAAGCGACAAAUGAAUUAGCUAAAGCUAAUAAAGUUAGAUGAACCAACUUUUGGGUUAAAGUCUUGUUAGAUACUAUAAAGAAAUAUACACUUUGUAUCCCUUUUUCUCUCAAUCUCCUUAUUGUUACAACAAAAUCUGAGUUUAAUAGUCAAAUGUUUUGUUCAAAUAGAGGAAGUUGAACUAACAAAAAGGAUUAGUAAGAUCCAAUUUGCUUCUACAAACAUACUUGAACUCAAACCAGUAUAUAAGAGCAAGCACCAUCCUUCUGCAUCAUACAGUCUCAAAACCAAAUCAUAUUUUGCAAUUGUUCUUCAUUACUUCUUGCAAUUAUCAGCUAUGGCUUCCACCAAAUCAUUCAUCACACCUUUUCUUCUUGCUCUGAUCUUCUCAAGCAUCAGCAUGAGCCUAGCAGCUCGCCAUCUGAUGCAAACAACAGCACCAAAUUUUGCAGGCAUUCCCUCUUUGCCUAACCCAACACUGCCACCUUUGCCUUCACUUCCAACACUUCCAUCACUUCCCACCACCAUUCCAUCACUUCCACAGCUCAACCUUCCUCCAAUGCCCUCAAUCCCCACCUUCACAAUUCCAACUACUAUGCCCUCCAUUCCAUUUCUCUCCCCACCACCUUCCACCUCCUCUCCUUAAACUUUCAUUUUCUUCAUCCUUUGCUACGUUGCAUGCAUGCAAUACAUAUCCAUGGCUUCAUUCCUUUCGUUUAUGGUGUUAUCAUAGUGAAUUUGUGACAGUGUAUUGUCUUUUCGAUUUCUGAACUUGUUGUUAUUCCUUGUACUUUUUCUUAUGUAAAAGAUUGUUACUGAUUACACAGUUAUACAACUAUGAUGUCUUUCACUUUUAAAAUCUUCCAACAUAGUUUUGUUUACAUCACUCAGAGUGUUUCACUUGAGACCUUGUAUUUUAUCUUUAAAUCACCAACCGAUUAAUAUUUGACGAAACAACGUUGCUCAAAAGAAUAGAACAGCAUUAAAAUACAUGGUUAGCUUUUGCCUCUGUAUACGAGAAAGUACUAAAGAGUUAGAGAAUAACGCACUCCUAACAUUUGAUUUCAAAUAUAAACACCGUUCUUUAAGGUGAUUUCUAGGCAAAAGCUCCAUCAAUUUUCCCCCAAAAUUUGUCAAUGUUUUUAUUUAUUAAUAAAAUAGGUAAGUCAUGAGGCAUAAUCACGACUUUGCUUCAUUAAAGUCGUCUUCCAUAAGUGCUCAUACUCACACGACUUUGACUUUAAUUAUAUGAGAUUUACAUUAAAGUCUGGUUUAUACUUAAUUUUAUUUUAAAAGUGUUUGUUUUUAUUUUUUUAAAAAUAGAAUAAUUAAUUGAAUUGUUGAAAAUUUCACAAAUUUUAUAACAUUUUUUGGUUCAUUCACUUAAGAAAAAUUUAGUUAUUUUUUAAUUAAAAAAAUUAUAAACUUAAACCAUAAACUUUAAACCUAUAAACUUUAGCAAAAAUGUCACAAUUAAAUUUUAACCCUAAAUUCAAAGGUAAAACCCUAAAUAAUAAAAUAUAAAAUUUAAACUUAAACCAUAAAUCUUAAAUCUUAAAUCUUCAAUCCUAAACCUAAAACAUAAACUAAAAGCCUAAAAUGCAAAAAUGCCUAAAAAAUACUCAAAGAAAUAAAAAAAACUAAUAAUAAAUGGUUGAUUUUUUGAAAUUUUAGUAUCACAGUCCUCUUCAACCAUUGGUCAUCGAAUUCCUUACUUCAUUUUGACCAACUUUCAUUUUUAACACGUCUUGAUCCAAUUUCUCUACCAAAAAUUAUGGCCAUUUAAUUUUUUCUUUUUAUACAAAACUUUAUAAAAUUUAUCAAAAUUUUAAUAACUCAAUUAAUUAUUCCAUUUAAAAAAUUAAAAAAAAAUUAAAAAACAUCAUUAAAAUGUGAAACUAUAUUCGACCUACCAAAACAAAUUCUUAGUCAUUUGAAAUAUUGUUAGUUUUAAAGUUCGAAACUCCUUCAUAAUUUUAUUCUUAAAAGACAUAUCAAAGAUUAAAAGAAGGUGUAUAUAAGUUGUAAUUGACCUCCUUCAAUAUCGAUAUGAUACUUUUUUUUCUACUUAAGUGUAUACUAUUGAAAUGGCCUCCUUCAAUAUGCUUCUCUCGUCUUUCUUCUUCAUUGUUUUAUCACUUAAAUGUUCAAUUUAUUGCCUGAUUUGGGAAAUUCUUCUGCUGGUAUAACUGUUCCUCCGUUUCCCCCAGCCUUCACCUUUCAUGCACUCUUCCACCUUUGUCAUCACUACCUCCCACAACUACCAAUCCUUCACUAGUAGCAUUACUAUAACAUAUACAUGCUCAACAGCAGAUAUAUAUGUAGCGAUAUCGAUGUUCCAUUGCAUUUAUGCAGUAAAAUAAAAGUUCAAGCACUAUUUUCUGUCAUAGCAUAAUAUGGCAAUUCCGUGUGAACGUUUUCUAAAACUUAUUUUGGAACCUAAGACGAUAUACAUUUAUACAUGUGCAAUAAUAACUACAACUCUUGUUGUACUCAAAAGAGGAAUGCAUGCAAGAACUUUUGAAACUUCAAAUGUUCUAAGUUUUUAAAAUUCUGAAACAAAUAAUAACAAUUUAAAAAAUGAAAAGUAAUAUUAUAAAAUAUAAUAAUAAUUUGUUGAAUAUAUUGCUUAUUUAUGUAUGUUUUGAUCAGAGAAAGUUAGAAGACAAACUAUUAGAAAAACAAUUAAAAAAAAAGUAUAUUGGGUGUAAAGGGUGACGUCUGGCAGCUGAAAUGAACUCUGUUAGAUCACCCAACUCAACCCUCAAAUAUGUAUGAGUUGUUCAUCCUACAUUUGACAAAUUGGAGACUAAAACCCAACAACCUUAUCAGUCCAACAUAAUAAAACUAUUAUUUAUUCAAAAACACGAGGAAGGUGAACGAACAAAAACAUUGGUUAGGUUCUGUUCGCUUCUCCAAACAAAGUUGAACUGAAACCAUAUUAGUUUGCCCACUGUCUCUCUAGCCCUAUAUAAGACCUUCAGCCUCUCAUAAUCUCAAACAACAUACAUACCAUUUUCAUAUUUACCAGUUUCUCUUCUUCAUUACUGCAAUCCAGUGAACCAUGGCCUCCAGCAAAUCAUUCAUCACACUUUUCCUUCUUGCUCUGACCUUCUCAGCCAUGAUGAGCAUGACCCUAGCAGCUCGCCAUCUUAUGCAAACAACUGCACCAAAUUUCCCUGGCAUUCCCUCUUUGCCUUCAAUUCCAACCCUUCCUCAGGGUAAUGUUCCACCAUUGCCCACUAUCCCAUCUCUGCCACAGCCUACCCUGCCAUCUAUGCCUACAACUUUGCCUCCACUUCCUAGCAACAUCCCUACCCUGCCAUCUAUGCCUACCACUUUGCCUCCACUUCCUAGCAACAUCCCUAACAUUCCAACAAUUCCACAGCUCAACGUUCCUCCAUUGCCCUCCAUCCCCACAUUCACAAUUCCAACUACUAUGCCCUCCAUCCCAUUCCUCUCCCCACCACCUUCCACCUCCACCCCUUAAAGUACCUUACAUUUCUUCAUCCUGGGCAAGCUCCUAUCUGAUUCUGAUUUCCUACCAGUGCCUAGUUGCAUGCAUGCUAUAGAUAUGGCCUGAUUACUUUUAUGUGAGAGUGUUGUGUGGUGUUUUCCUCCUACUUCUGUCGUAUGGUGUGAAAAACUGUAUUUUCUUUUCAAUUUAUGUAUCAGUUGUCGCUAUUGUUUCUAGUUUUUCUUGUAUUAUGGAUUACAGAUUGAGAUUGAUUACAGUUAUACAAAUUAUAAUGUCUUAUCCUUUAAUUUAAACUCUCCCAACAUCCUAAUUAGAUCUCUAACUAACUACAUUUGCAUUAUUACUAAGAGUAUUUCGCUUGAGCCCUUGGGUUUGUUUUGGUUCAAGAGAACAGAGAAUAAAGGAAGAAAAAUAUCACAUUAUUUAGUUGAUGGAGAAAGGUAAAAACAUAAAUAAUAUACCAAUAUAUUCUUAUUAUUAAGCAUAAUGAAGGAGAUGAGAUAUAAAGUAACAUAUCAAAAUUUAAUUCAUACAAUUUAUAAAAUAUAAUCAUUGUUAUCUUCCUUAAAAUCUUUCAAUAUUGAAGAAAAGACAAGAAUUGGAAGAAAAAAUAUCCAUAUUUUUUUUCUCCUGACACUCUAACUUUCAAACACCACGGAAACAAGAUGGCUAAAUGAAAGAUAGAACACCAUUAAAAUGCAUGAAGUGCAUCUAUAAGGAAGAAUCCGAAGAAUUUUUCAUUAAUAUGCUAGAAGCAAAACCGCACAGGUAAAUCUAUCUGCACUUCAUCCAACCCAAAAUUUUAAUAUACUGAACUUAAGAAAUCACCCCAGUUCUCUUAAAAAAAAUGCAGAGGCUUAAGCUAUCGGCUUCCAAUUAUUAGAUAUGAAAAAUCACAUCUCCACCACGAAAGCAAAAUACUAUUAAUCUAUGUUCAUGAAAGCCUCCAUCCUCUGAACUACAUUGAGUUUAAAGAUGUUUCUUCAAAUUUACAUUCAACUUCUUGCAAACUGAAAUCCAAAAAUACUACAAACUAUGCAUGUUGAGCAAUUUGUACAUUCUAUCCAAUGUACAACUUUUUACUACUACUUGCUCUCGAUCAAGAAGUCCCUCCCCUCCCCACAAACAAGUCAGACAUUUCGCAAACAAUCCUUGUAAUAUCAACCCCAUUCCAAUUUAACCACAAGGAAAAGAUCGCUAACUGAAUGAUAAAACGCCUUUAAGAAAAGUGGGUCAUGUCUGCAUCUAUAUCUAGUCAAAGUACGAGAGUAGUGUACUCCUAACAUUAGAUGCCAUUUAAAACCGACGUUGACGCUCUGUAACUUUACACAUAAAACACCGUUCUCGAGGUGAAUUCUUCUUCUAAGGUGCAGUAUAAAGCUCAAGGGCUGGAUCAUGUCUCAUCAUCACUAAUUCUCUCAUGCUUUUGAUAGUUUCAGACUAGCUGCUAAUAUCCAUUUUUUCCUACUUACUGAUCCCAACCAUAUACUACUGAUAUGACCCCUUUCCGUGAACUUGUCUUCCCUUUCUUCUUCAUUGUUUUAUCACUUUUAUCCAUUGGCAAUGUCCAAGCCAGUAGAAAACUUGUUGCAGCAACAUUGCCCAACAUGGGGAAUUCUCCUGUUCCCGUUAUUUAUCCUCCAUUCCCCCCAAUAACGGACUGGCCAGAGUAUAGGUUGCCUCCACCCUUCUCACCAGUUCCUCCCACACUUCCACCCUUCUCACCAGUUCCUCCCACACUUCCACCCUUCUCAUCAGUUCCUCCCACAGUACCACCCUUCUCACCAGUUCCUCCCACAAUUACCAAUCCUUGACUACCCUGUAUGUGCAAUUCUGCAGUAAAAUAAAGGUUCACAUCACAGCACUAGCUUUCAAUUCCAUCAUGAUGAUUAGUUACUUAGUUUGAUCUCCUUUGAUUGGGUGAACUAUGCCGUGUAGCACCAUGUAAUGGAGCACCAUAUAAUAUUAUUUUUCCCAUUUGCUUUGCUUUUUUUGAGUAAAAUGUCUGUUCUGUUACAUCAAAGUACGAUUUAUUUUCCUCUACCAUUUUGGUGUACCAAGGGAAAUAAUGAAGAAGGCUCAAUCAACAAUUCGCAUUCUCAAUUUAUUAGUUUAAACAAUUCCAUCCACAUUGUACAAUUAGACAUCCAUAGCUAAUCUAAAUAUACGAAAACAGCAUGGCUAACAUACUACUCCAAAACAUUGAAGACUUUGAGCCGGUAUAAUAAGCCUCAAUCAAAUUCUAGUUUCAUGAAAAAGUCAUACAUAGAACCUUUGAAUAAACAAAACUGAAUACAUAUCAGAGAUGAAAUUCAAAGUAUAUAUAUCUUAGCUGGCUUCAUAUUUGGGGUCUGCUGUGACUAAGUGAUAAGCUAUAACCAAACCAAAAAUAAAGAUGCCAAGAAAGUUGGCAAUGACUCCCAAGGCUGCAUCAUCAAUCAUAUCUCUUACUUUCUAGAUCUGGGCAAGGCAAGAAAAAAAAUAUAAAUCAAAUAAUUAAGAAACACAUGAAAUGAAUUGCUUUACAAUAAUCACCGUAAAGGAAUUGAAUUCUCCGUCAUAUUAUUCUACGAACAGAGCAAUAGAGAAAUUAAAAUAAUUAAAUAAACAAGAAAUUGUGAAUGAGAAAGUGACCUUGAGAGUGGGUGAAUGAAAUUGUUUGUUGGAUCGCGGUAAGGAAGACGCAGUUCCCCAACUAUUUAAGAAGCAAGGGUGUGUGCGUUUGUGUUGACCUAGACUUUUGGCCACAUGCAAAACGCCGUCGUUUACGACGAGAUUAAACUGUAAAAAACUUUAAUAAUGUGUGGCUGCUGGGAUUCGAGCCCAGGUCUCCACGGCCACAACGUGGAAUUCUUACCACUAAACUACAGCCACUUCUUGUUUUAUCUGAUAAAUUAUAGUAAUAGAUUAUAAAUAUUACGUUCAUGGUCUUUCGAAAUUUUUGAUAGAGGACCGUUCAUCAUUGGGAAUCAACUGAAUUGUUAUCACUGACAAGUUUGGAGAUGAUCUAGAGAUUUUAGUAAUUUAUAGCACAUAUAGAAUAUUUUGCAAUCUAGUAAAUCACAUCUUCGUCUUCAUCACUCUUUUAACUACGAGAUAUUAAGUUGUUUAUAUUGAAAUGAAUCGAUGUAAAAUAUUAAUUUAACAUCUAUUAAUUGUUAUUAUUGAUGUGAAAAUUGUAAGAUAAUGAUUUUAGUAAUGUGGUAACAAUUAUGAUGACAUUCCUUUGAGCUAUUCUUUGCGUUUUGGUGAUGAACUUGCGGAAGUCUGUGGAGGAGAUGAAGCAAAGCCUUCCAAGGAAAUAUGGAUUCCUUGAAGGUGCAUGAGAGUGAGGAAUUGGGGAGGUUCGGCCAACCCCUUUAAAGGUGAUGAAGUGAAGAUUAAAACCUAGAUACUAGGCAAAGAGUAGUGUAUGACACAAAUUUGGCAGCAUAAUAAUACUCUAUUCAAUCUUGAAAUACAUGAGGGUUGGCUCCUCUUUUUAUAGGCUAAGGAGGACCUGAAAUGAUGAGCAAAUGCAAGUCAAAUGAAAUGCAAAAGAGUAGCAGAUGGAGGCACAUGGAGCACAUGCCACAUCAAAUUUACUCUAACCAAAAUUCCGAUUGAACAAUAUUACUCUAAUCAUAGUCUAUUAGUAACAUUCUGUCGUCAUUAUGAUAAAUGAGGGAGAUUAGAAGUUUAGAGAGAAUGUAGAGAAAAAGAAAGAAAACUUUUAUAAAAAGAUUGUUUUAUAACUCCUUAAAAUCACAAAUAUCACCGUAUCUUAUUUUUAAUAUUUUUAAAUUUAAUUAAUUUAUCUCAAUACAAUAAUUGUAUCAUUAUUUUUAUAUAUUAUAUAUUAUGUAAGUACCUUAUAAUUGAAAUCAAUGUUAGUAUAAAAAGAAUCAUAUUUCAUUUUAGACUAAUUGAAAUAUAUUUAAUUAUUCUAAUGAUUGAGUAUUUUAUAUUUUUAUAUAAAAAAUAUUUAUUAAAUUUGAAAUAUAAUUAAACAAAAAAGACGAAAUAUGUGGUAAAAUUGAGAUAGUUGUAUAUUGUUAUAACUAAUAAAUAUUGAGUAGAUAUCUGGUGAAGGGAGGGAGUAUAAAAGAAGAAGAGGGAGGCGUAAGGAGAAAAGGGAAGAAAGCAUAGGAGAGAAGUGAAGAAGAAGAAGAAGCAGAGAAGAAGACGAAAAUGGGAGUGGAGAAGCAAUUGUUGAGGCCUGGCACCGGUCCCAAGCCAAAUCCUGGUCAAAACGUCACCGUUCACUGCACUGGUUUUGGUUCGUAAUUUUCUCUCCCCCUUUCCCUUUCUAAACCCUAAAUCUCACUUUUCCCACCUUUUGUUAGAUCGCACCCUCUUUAACGUGCUUACUGUUGUGAAUUCUGUGUGCAGGGAAGAACGGCGACCUAACUCAGAAAUUUUGGAGGUAAUUACCAUUUCAUUUCAUUUCAUUUUUCGUUCCUUUCUUUUCAUUAAACUCGUUUAUCACUACUUUUCUUACAGCACAAAGGAUCCUGGCCAAACCCCUUUCUCCUUCAAGAUCGGCCAAGGUUCUGUCAUCAAAGGUAUACACCAUUUUCACUUUCUUCCAAUUCAUUCUUUCUCAUAAUUAUAAUUAUUAAGUGGAUUUUAAGGCCAAGUCUAUCUCAUUAAAACCUGUUUUCAUCAGCUUUCAUAAUAUUUUAGCGAGUGUUUGGCCGUUAUAUGUGUGUUGGGAUUUCACAUCGAUCAGAAUUCUCUGUGUUGGAAAUCUCGAAUGAAUAGACUAGAGAGUGUGACAUUUCAUAUUUAUUAAUUUCAUAUCUCAGAUCGUUAUUUAUAAAUUAAUUAAAUUUAUAAAUGAUAAAUUAAUUAAAUUUAUAACCGGGUUCAAACCUUACCUUAUAAAUCCUGUUUUAUGAGAUUGUCCCUUACCUUAUAAAUCCUGUUUUAUGAGAUUAUGUGUUAGGAUUUACUUUGUAAUAAUAAUAAUAUUUUCCUAUUUUUUUGUUCUCUAAUGUAAAUUUAUCGUAAUAUUUUUUUAUAUCUUCCUUUCAACUAUCUGUGUCUGUAGGAUGGGAUGAAGGUGUGCUUGGCAUGCAAAUUGGUGAAGUUGCUCGUCUCCGGGUAAUGCUAGCAACCCUUUUCUCUUACAUGUUCCCACUUGAAAAAUCUCAUCGCGACUUCAAUCUUUCGUGUCACUCAAAUUCUCACUUUUUGGAAUAUCCUUCGUGUUUGUCCUCUCCUCAACAAUCUUUUAUCUGCAUAACUCAAAAUCUCUUUUUGAUAUCACAUCCAACUGAGUGUUGUUGUUGGUGUCAUUAUAAAUUAGCUGUUUCUUUUUCAUGUGUUGGUGCUGAAUCCACUGUACUUUUAUUAAUUCUUAGCUGUUUGUUUGUUGCUUCUUUUGGGGGUGGAGGGUUAUAGAAUUGUAUAGACCCUGUUGUUCACAUUGUUGAUGAUCUUGCAGUGCACUCCUGAUUAUGCUUAUGGUGCUGGUGGCUUUCCUGCUUGGGGAAUACAACCCAACUCUGUCUUGGAAUUUGAAAUCGAAGUCUUAAGUGCGAAUUGAAAACCUUUUUAGUCUGUCUGUCUCGGCCCGAUGAAUAAGAUCAUUCAUUUUCAUGGACAUGUGUAAUGGUAUCCCAAUGCAAUGAGUGACGAGUUGUUUAACCGAAAUGCUAAAUUACUUCUUGAAUGAUCUCAAUCUCUUAAUAUUAUAUUUCGUACCCUUUACUUCUUCAUUUCUUUGGUAAAUUAAUAUUAUCUAGCAACGCAUCACCUUAGUUUCUGCUUCCAUGUAUGUGAAAUGCUGUAGAAUUUUUUUCCUAUCCUAAAGAAUCCAGUCUUUACCAUUCAUCCCAAGUUUAUAAUGUGACCUCCACCACACUUGUAGAUUGAUUGCAGGUUUUGCUAUUGUUAAUAGUAAUAAUAAUAGCGAUAUUGUUAUCACGAUUUUCUUUUGUUGGUGGAGUUGUUGCUACAAGCCAAUAUUUAUGCUAGUUGCAUGAGAAUAGCACUAUUUUGGCUGUAAGCCAUACUUGGAUGUGUAAUGUGUUUGUUUAUCUCAUACUUGAGUUACGUCCCUCUUCAGCUUCAAUUUCUUAGCUUAGCCCAGUUGAUAGAGCAACUUGAAAUUAUGAGAAUAAUUAUUUGUUAUUAUUGUAGAGAAGUGAAAGAAUUAAGAAAAAGUGAUAAUAUAUUAUAUUUUAAUAUUUUAUAGUUAAAAAACAAAUAAUCUACAGUCAUUAAGAAAUAUAAAAGUAAUACCCUAUUCAAGUAAUUGAAAGAGCCUCUGAGAUAAUUAUGUAAUUCAGAAACUAAUUAAUAUUUUUGAAAAUACAUAAGCCCUUAUAAAUUUUGUAACCUGUAACGGCUCAGCCAAUUGUUUUGACUUGCUCAAAUUGUAACAUUUAUACGCCCGAGAAUACUGAACCCUAACUAAUACUUUACAUCCAUUUUUAGGCUAUUUCUUCCUACACUCCAAUGGCUUCUUGCCACAGGCGAAAUGUAUAUUUUUCUAUUUAUACUUAAAUUCCAUGAUCCCAUUUUUUUUAUUUUUUCUUCAAGAAAAAUACAUUUGGAAGGUAUUUAUGGCUUCGAUUUCAUAAUCUUUUCAGAAGUUAUUCUAUAAUCUGAUUUUUUUUUUAUCACAGAUUCCAAAAUAAAAAACAUCAAUAAAAUUUUUGGUAUUUUAAGAUAUAAUAUAGUAAAUGGUAUUUUUAGUAUUUUAAAAAGUAUUGAGUGCCAAAAAAAGCUAUGUAGGGGCCGAAAAAAAACAGUCUCAUUUUUAAAAAGCAACUAUUUGAUGUAAUGAAUGCCCUUAAUUGGGCCUUAAUUAAGGUAGCAAUAAUUCUAUGUGGUCCUGCCCACCGGUAGAUGUUUUUUUUAAUCUGUGAUAUUAAAUGCAAGGAUUUACUAUUACACCUGAUUUUUACAAAAAUCUGAAAAAAAAUUGUCUUUCAAAAAUAUUAUUUUGUAUUUUGUAUUUGAUAUACGCACAUAACGGAAAUGUAAUUUUUUUUACAUUACAAGAACUACCUUUUAUAGUAAAAAAUGUCUACAUUAAAGAAUUUCUUUGAAAGAUCUCAGUGGUGACUCCAAUACUGAAACUUAGAGAUCAUAGAUCAAGUUUCGUGCAAGGGUGCUGAUAUGUUAAUACUUUGAACAAUAAAAACAUACACUCUAUAUCUUAAUUUAUUCAUUUUUAUUUUAUUUUUUAAUUUAAAAAUAUUAUAAUAUUAUAAACCGUAUGAAAUGUAUGUUUUUAACUGUUGAUAGUGUCAACAAAACUUUUCUCUUCUUCCAAAUCGUUAUUUCUAGUUUAGAUAGACUUUUCUGCAAAUGUUAGAAAAAAGGUUUCCAUGGUUUAUAUGUAUAAAUAAAUGAGUUAUUUUUAGUUUUGGUAUUAUGGAUCAAACUAUUACCUGAUAUAAUAUUCAAACGUGGGAAAAUAAUUCAAAUUGUCAACGUUGCAUUCCCAUCACAAUACCUAAAUUUUCAUGGUGAAAGGAUGCAAGAUCUUUUUCAAUACAGUGAUGAUUAAACUAUAAUGAAGGUUUUCAAAGAGUAUAAUUUUGCAUUGCAAAUCAUUCCAAUAUUCCACUAGCCAAUACUGCUAAUGUUGGUUUCAAUUAGAGCAAUUCAGAACAAAGAUCUCGUAACAGUAUUUUGGUUAAUAAUUUGCCAUUUUGCUCAGAAAAACUAUCUAGUAGGACAACUACUAUCAGUGGUUCUGAUAAAGCUAGCUGAAAAAUCAUUUGAAGUGGAAAGAAAAUGUUGCAGAGCCUAAAGGUAUGAAUUUAUUUCCCCUUUCCCUUUUAAAAGGGAUAAAAUCAGAAAGCAAUCAAUUCAUGUAUGUGUUAUUCAAUGAAAAAAGUGGAAGGAAUCCCUGAAUUGUAGCAUCUAGUCUCUGAAAUCCAACCGCACUUGGGUGGAGCUGUAACCCAAAGGAAAGACCUCAUCAUAGAUUCUGGUAUUUGGUGCUGGUGCCCUCCCUUCCAAGCAAAAUGGUAUUAUAAUUAUUAUUAUUAUUUCUUCUCAAACGGGUUGAAAUCAAAAGAACGAUUAUCUUCUUUCUCGGUCAGUCUGUCAUUCUCCAUCCUCUUUAAUUCACUCCCUCUACACCUCUUGACUUGUUAUUUCUUGUCUACGUGAAUUCCGGACUCGGAUGGUACUUGCAAAAGACAUUUCGAUACUUAAGUAAGACUUCGGCAAUCAGUACCACAGUGCAAUUAGUACUAGAUGACGACGUACUCUUGAAAUCUGUGUUUAUUUAUAUAAUUUAUCAUGGGCUAUUUGUUAUUAGAUCUAAUUAAGAAUUUAAUUUAUGAUUAAGAAUUUAAUUUAAUUUAUUUGAUCUUUGAUUAGUCUCAUCAAUCUUCUGCUUGGAUGUAAUGGUUUCGGUCAGUCUUGACCGCGGGCUGGAUUCCAAUUAGUCGUACGGAAAAAAUACACAAUUUCUUGUUAUAUGGAUUUGUCUUCAGAAUGUAUAAACUCAAAGUAUCUAAGGAACAAUACAUGAAUUAUUAGAUGGUAUAAUGGUAUUGCCCUUUUAUAAAUAUGGAGUCUUUUGAUCUCUUUCUUUUAGCUUUUUGAUGAAAUGCACGGGUGUAGUAUGUUAGAUUGGAUGAUUGUGGUUAGUGGGCUAAAAAUGGGAGUUGCACUUGAUGAACAUGAUCUGCUAUCUGCAUAAUAAUUGUCUUAUUUUUAUGGUGAUGGUGUUGUUGCAUCAUUGGUUCCAUCUAGCUGGUGGCAGUGUGGUGAGUUUGGUGGGGGCGAUUGGGCCAUGGAGUUUGGUUUGAUUUCAAUGAGUAGCUAACAACAAAUUAGGAAGUUAAUGAGUGUAUUAGAUUAUUCAUGAGUGAAUGGCACAUGUUUCUGUCUCUCUGCCUUUUGUUUGGGCAAUGUUAUUAUCAUCAUAACACCUUCACCAAUUCAUUUCUUAACCACCUUUCACAUUUUGCUUCAUAGAUUGGGAAACAAUCACUAAAUCAGGACUGUUCUGGAAGUAACAUGUCACCAAAACUAUAUCAUGGCUAAAUCUUCAAUCAUUACAUAACAACUAGUAAGAUCAUUUCAUUUAUAAAUUUCACUUCUUUGCCAAGGAUAAUUUAAACAACAAUUUCAAAACUUAAAUACAACACCAAUAAUUGAUCAAAAUUAUUAUUUUUAAAUUAUCAUUUUAAUAUAUAUUUUACACCCAUCUAAUUAUAGAAAAUUAUUUUUUCAUUUUUUAUAUAUAUCUUUUAAUAUUUAAAUUAUAACAUUUGUCGGCACAUGGUUUAGACUCUGACAGCUUAAAAAUAAAUAAAAUACCAUAUUUUUAGGUAAGUAAUAUAAAUUACUUUUAAGGUUGAGUGAUAUUAAAAGCAAGAUAGGUAACUAUCAAUAUUUGCAAACAUAAAAGCUCGAAAUUGGAACUAAAGUAAAAAGUUGCUAUAUUUUUCAUUGUCUUUAACAUAUUUAGAUUUUAAAAAACACUUAGUAAAUCACUUAAUUUGAGAGGCAAGAAUGGUUCAUUGGGGUGCAAUUGUACUUUAAUCUAUUUCUGUUACUUCUUUAAUAAUCACAUUACACUAUCUUUUUGGUUGAGGAGUUACAAAGUUCUUUCUUUAACAUUAAAAACAUUAUUCAAUAAAAACAAUUUCAUCACUAGUGAUAUAUUUUAAAUUUAUUUUUCUUGAGUCAAUUAAAUAUCCAAAUUAAUAAAAUUUAUCAUAGGUAAAUAAACUUCUAACUUAUUUGGUAAGAACCUACCGUAAUAGAUGAAGAACUUCUAGUUAAGAUUUAACAAAAAUGUUUAUGUUUGAAAUUACAAUGCCCAUAUGCACAAGAAAAAUUAAGUUAUUAUAAAAAAAAAUAGUUGGGGUCAAAUAAUAAAAAUAAUGCAUAAAGAGACUUCUCUAUGUUACUUAAAUUACCAAAUAUAAUCCAAUUUCACUACUAAAAGCUAAAAAAUGUAUCUUCAACCAAUUAUUUACUUGAAGUAAAUGAUAAAUAUAUUCUUAAAUAAUUAAAUAUUAAUCAAAACCAUUUCUUCAAAGACAAACAGAAAAUUUUUUUACCUAACAAAAUAGCAUAGGUGGAGAAAAGGUGGAAAGGAAAAAAAGGGGAAAAGAAAGAAAGGGCAAAAGUGAGAUUUGAUUGUGUAUAUAGUGGUGGGCAUGCACACCAUGCCCAACCUCCCUCCACUGCCUCUUUCCCACAUUUUCUUGAAACACUUCACUCUCUUUACCUUUUUUGUUCUCUCAACCAAUCCCUCCAACUGUAAGUCUUUCUAAAUCUCAUUAACCUUUUUCUUGCUUCUCAUUUUUUCUUAUCUGUUCUUUGGUUUGUUAUUGGGUAACACAAAAUCAUGCUAAAGGUGAAGCCUUUAAUUCAACUGGGGCUACCAUCCCCCUCAUGGAACAUGGCUCUGAAAUUCAGUUUUUUUUUUUUAAAAAUAAAUUGGGAUCAUAUUGUGGCUAAAUUAACAACCUUUUUUGGUUUCUGACAAAUUUCAGGAUUGGAGUAGUUUAAUUUUUAUUUUUUAUUUGUUGAGUAGAACAACUACAACUUUCAAGGAAUUAAAAAAAUUAAUUGGGUAAUAGCUCUACUAGGGCAUGUGGCUUUCUUCCUUAGCUGCCAACAAGUUAACAUCAUGAUGAUUGCUUUCUCUCCCCCAAUUGGAUAGAAAAUUAAGAGUGUUUUUUUGAAGAAAUGAAUGGAUGAGUUGUUUGCUGCAAUUAGUUUUCUGUUGUCACAGGUUAUUGAUGUUUUCUCAUUUAGAAUAGAACACUUUGCUUUUGUUUUUUUUUUUAUAAUAGAACACUUUGCUAUGGUUUUCAUUGCUGUUACUAUGUUUGCUAACAUCAAUUUUUUUUCAAUCUUGUUUCAGAGUAAUUGGUGUUGAGGGCAUAACAUAUUUCUGAAGCUCUAAGCGAUUGUGGAAGCUUAAUCACACAGGAAGAAAUCAGCAUGCGGUGGUUGGGUCUUUUGGUUUAUGUACAUCGUCAAGUUGUACGCUUGAACUUAUAUUGCAAAGUUAUUCUAUAGGUCCCUUCAAUUCUUUUACUUUGUUACUUUUGGGUUUUGGUUCCUUAAUCUUAACUACUGCCAUGGAAGACAACCGCUGUUUGUUAACUUCUUCAGAAAAAUAUAGAAUUGGCUGAAAGAUUGGGAGUGAAGACAGUGCCUGGUAUUUGUGUCUUCAGUAUUGUUGCCGUCUUAUAUAUUUCUGUAGUUCUAGCUGAUUUUAAAUUUAUAAUUAGCUUGGUUCCUUCAUUAUCACAUUCCAUUGGGGCCUUUUCUUGGGUGUACAUUACAUUCUAGUGUGGUAGGAUCCAAAAGAAGUUAUGGUGUGCCAAGCAGCGAGCCAAACAAGAUUCCGGACUUUGAAACAUGAGAAUGGCAUUGAAGGUGAACCAACAAUUAUUGUUAGAGUGAUAGCAUGCUUUCAACCUUUGCACGAUUGUCAGGUUAGUAACCUAUUGCUGAUUCUUAGUGUUUUGCAAUUGCAUUUCUUUCACAAUACUGUAGGCAUGAUUUUGAAACCAGCUGUUUGAAGAAAAAAUUCAUUUAUGCCUCUUGUGCAUGUAGAACAUUUAAGAUCAAUGAUCACUAGAGCUAAUGGUAUCAGCUAUUGGAUAAUUUUAUGAGUGAUAUCUUCUUACUCUUUGCAGGCUGAGUACUUCCGUCAUCUGCUUAAGCCUGUCACGUAGAUUGUUUUGCAUUUGUUUUUCUUUAAGCUGGAAUCUGUAGUUUUCUGUUUCUGUCAUUUGUUCUUAAGAGAAGCAGCAAGUCAUUGAAAAUCCCAUAUCAAGUCGCCAUAACAUCUACUGGUAUGUAUUUUCAAAUGCUCUUUCAAUCUUUACAUCUGAAAGGUUCAAGUUUUUCACCAUCAGCAUUGAUCGGUCAGUUCUUUUGUUCUUUAGGUCACUUUUUAUUGGAUGGUUAAGGCUCAUUGGUCUUGGCCUAACCCACAGCAUGUGGCUUGGCCAUCACCUUACUUAAAUAGCCCCUGCACCUUAGCAGAGCCCAGUUCGCUGGUUCAUUCAACAUACAUGAACUCUAGCACAUGCAUAUUUCCGGGGUUCACAGCUCCUGCUAUCCCAAAUUUGAAGAGUGAGCUAACCAAUGAAGUGCAGGGAUUCCUUCAGCAUCCCAAUGAACCAUGUUUAAACGAAACACAUAGUGGAGAGGCUGUGCAAGAUGCAUCUUUGCAGAAGAAGCUGCUUGUUUUUGACCACUCUGGUAGUAAGACAAGGUUGCUUUAUAGUCCUGUCUUCCCUUUUGUCCAGAGUCCAAUUGUUACUGCUACCCAAUUCACUCAAGUUUAUGACGUAAAAGAGGAAGCACGAGCAACUAAUAUAGGCCUAAAGCAUUGGCCCAUAUACACUUCACCAGAAGAGACUGGGAAGGAUCAUAUAGAUAAUGAAGAAAGUGAAAUGCACGAAGACACAGAAGAAAUCAAUGCAUUGCUUUAUUCUGAUGAUUCUGAUGAUGAUAGUGAUGAUGAGGUAACAAGUACAGGUCAUUCUCCGUUGGUUACUGAAAAAAUGUGUGUGAUUCAAGAACAGUUUGUGGAUAUGAAGGAGGAAGUUGCUAGCACUGAUUGGCCAAACAAAAGGCAGAAGUUAAUUGAUGGUGGAUUCAAUAGAUUGCCACCACUUGUGGAGAGUGCUAGUUCGGAAAGGCUAAAUAAAAAGUGUGACUAUGCCAGUGAUGCUGAAUCAAACUAUUCUAGUAGUGUUGAGGUGUAUGCUACCAGGCAAACUAAGAAUAAAUCAACAGAUGUUGAUAUUGAAUUGAAAAAGGAUAAAAUCCGUAAAUUGUUAAGAGUUCUUGAGAACUUUAUUCCUGGAGCAAAAGGAAAGCAACCCCUAUUAGUCAUCGAUGGUACUAUUGAGUACUUGGAAUCUCUGAUGGCCCAAACUGGUAGACUGAAAUAUUACUAAGUGCUCAUUGUGGUGGUUAGAUUACAAAAUGGUUGAAGGGCACAUUGAUGGUGAAAAAAGUUGUGUGUUGAAUUAUUAUAUUUGUGUUUGAAUUCAGCAUCCUUGCUUCUUUGAUUGUCUUUCUCAAGGUGUAUUUAUAGUUUAGCAAUAAAGGGGGCGAAAACAGCAAUAGAUGGUACUACAAAAUGGGGUGUUGGGAUUGAAAUUUGAUUGGGAAGAUAUUUGAUGUUUGAGCUUUUUGGUGGAUUAAAGGUAAAAGAGAUUGAAGGGAUGGGUGAUGGUAGUGGAUGGUUGUGGUGUAAAUGAGGACACUUUUUUCUUCGGGAGUGUUGAAUUGUGUUGUUGAUUGAAUGCAUGCGCGUUAGGUAAGUGGGGUCCCAGUUUCCACCCUCCCUUUUACUUCCUGAUUUUAUGCUCUCUUCCAACCUUGGCUUCUACACAUAUGAUGCUAGCGUAGACUAUAAAGUACCAAGAAAGUUCCAUGUUGGUGGCGUGCUUGAAAGAGGAGCGUGGUGUUUCAUCAUCACUUCUUGGGGCCCUUUCUUGGAUGCACAUAACAUGUUCUGGUAAAAGGUUUCUUUGUUUUAUGUGUUCACCCUGUCAUUCUGUUUUCUACCUUGUAAUUCAGUAUUCUAAGGUUUCUUUUUCAUCAUGCUAUUAUGUAUUUAUGUAUCUGUCGGUUCUGUCAAUGCGUCUAUUCCUUUUCAUGUUUUCUAUUUUCGUUAUCCUUGUCUUAUCUGUUUAAUACUACCAAACAAAACUUUACAUUAGAUAAUCAAGAAUUUGAAUUUCAUUUGUAUUAGUUAUUACAUGUGUAACACAUAGCAUAGACAGUGAUACAAAUAUACAAAUAUUACGACAUGGACACAUAGAUUCUUAUAAUUUCUAAUAAGAUACGCAGAUCAAAAUUUGUUGAUAAAUAUAUAUAUAUAUAUAAUUAUAAAUUGAUAAUAAAAUUUAUGUAUACAAGAAGUACGUUUUAGUGAAGAUAUUUUAUAAUCAUUUGUUUCUUAUUUUUAUAAUCAUAAUAAAUAUAUAGUUGAUAAAAAAAUUAUAAUAUAUAUUUUUUAAAUUAUGUUAAAAUUAUAUUAGAAUUAUUAAAAAUAUAAUAAAUAUUUUUUGAAUUUGAAAGAGUGUUCUACGAGUGUUCUUCGUACGAGUGUUCGAUAUGAUUCAUGAAGGUUAUGAUUAAAAUAAAGAUUUAAAUUUAAUUAUUUUGUUUAGUUCCGUCAUACUUCUUAAUCGACAUGAUGAACACUAAUCUCUCAAUCAUGCCGUGAUUUCCAAAUCUAAGAUAUUUUAAGUAUAAAGCAAAAACAGUGGAAAUAAUCUUUGUACUAAUUUUAGUUUUAUUUAUUAAAUAAAUGUUUGGGUGAUGGUUACACUAAUAAUGCAGAUGAUUAAUAGCAAGAAUUUUUUUAUCAUUAAGGCCAUGAUAUUAAUAAUGAUGAUGAGUGCUGAUAUUAGAAAUGUAAUAAUAAUGAGAAUAACAAUUAUUAAUAAAUAUAAUAAUAAUAUAUUUAUUUAAACUAAAAAUCAAACAUUCAUUUUUUAAAUAAAUGUAAGAAAUAUUUUAAAAUUGAGUAAAAAUGUUUCAAUUCCAUUUUUUCCAACCAAAAUUAUUUUAAAAAUUACACUUUAAAAGUUAAAACCAAAAACCUGCUAUCACUCCUAAAUGGACCUUUGCUAAAGACUAUUUUCAAUAUUUAAGUAUAUUUUAAAAAAUAAAUUAUUUUAAAUUUAAAUAAUAUAUACAUAUAUAUUAAGUUAAAGCUCAUAUAUAUAUAUAUAUAUAUAUAUGAAAUUUAAAAUAAAAUUUUAAAAAUGUUUUUUCAAAGACUAGCGUAGUUUUUUUUUUAACAUAGACAAGUACAUUUUUAGUACAUUUCAAAUAUUUUGUAAUUUUUUUAAUUAAAACAAGUAGGAAAGUUACCAUUUAUUUUGAUCUGGUUUUUGAAAAUUAAAUUAUAGAAAGGGGGAAAAAGGAAAAUUUUGACAGAAAACAUACGAGAUUCACGUGUUUUCUUGUGUUUUGUCAAAAUGGUUGGUACCACUUAGCACUUUUCAUCUAUAACAAUUUUUGUUACAAAAUUGGUCUUUUAAAGAUAAUCUUAAUAGGUAACAAUAAAGGAAAAAUUUAAUAAUUAAAAAUCAAUUUGACAAUAAAAAUAAUUGAAAGAUUAAUACAAUAAUAUUAUUCACUCAUGAUAAUUAUAACGUCCGCCUGAAAUUAUUUUAAAAAAAAAUUAAAAAUACCAUAUUAAAAAAUGUUUAAAAUUAAAAAUGACACUAUGUUAUCUGCAAUAUAUUUCAUGGUGUUUGGUAUAGUUCAACUUUAAAUUAGGCAUGACCCAUGGUAGUGCUUCUUCAGCCAACAACACUGUUUUGUUCUUACUACUUCUUCACCUCCAGAAAUCAAAAGCUCUGGAUUCAAACUUAUAUUAUUUCUACAUGUAGUGGAUUCAAUGAAUUUUGAUUUAUAUAUAUAUAUAUAUCAGUUUCGAGCAAAUUUUCAAAUGUUUUGGUCUUUCAAGAUGAUUGGAUGUUUUGGAAUUACAUAUGAGUUGAGGUUUCCAAUUAAAGGUUCUUUUAUUAGAAAUUAUGUAUUAUAAAGAAGCACAACAUGCAAUUAUGAAGCAUUUGACAUUGAUAUUGGCCAGAAUGCAGUGCAAUGACAGCUUCUGGAAUCUCAUGAAUAAUAUCUAAUCAUGUAUGGUCACUGUUUAGCAGAAAUGGUUCUUGGCACUAACUGUUUAAACUGGAGGGUGUAAUUAUGAGUUGGUUGGAAAAUCAGUGAUUAUAUAUAUUAUCGUUGUGCUUCUGAUGCCAAAUAAAGUUCUUACAAAUGAGCACAGAGAAGAACAUUAUUAGACUCAGAUAGAUUGAAGAAAAAGACUAGCAUUGAAAGAUAAUUAUUAACAGAUUAAUGUUUACCCUUCAAUUCCUGGUUGGUGCCGUCACAUGAUAAUCCUUUGUGAUGGUGGUAAACUGUAGUUGAUGAUGAAAGCAUCAAAGAAUCCUUCAUGGUGAUCUAAUCUCAUUGCAAGAUUUACUUGUUGCCGAUUUGGACUCAUGGAAGUCUUUUGUCUUGUCACAUGACAACUGUACCACUGUUUUUAUGCAAGAUGACAUGAUUUAUGUUGGAAUAUCUAAUCAUGUUUCUUUUUCCCUUCUAGUUCACUGCUUCUGGACAGUUUCUUGUUAUUCUCUACUUUUACUGCUGAUUCUGUUCGCUACAACAUAGAAAUGAAUAAUAAAAAUAAAAUAAUCGCAUUAGCUAUUUUUCUGUUACUAAUUGUUAUACCACGAAACCGGAAGUCCGGGCCAUAUGACCUAUCGGCCUUUCUAUAAAAAAAUCAACAUUCACGCCAUAUCACAGGUUAAGGACAUUAAUCCUAAUUAGAAAUCAAAAAGCGGGAUUAAAGUUCAUUGGGUCUGGUUUAGUCAUUCUGAUAAGAUAAGACUCACUAGAACAGUGUAAAUAAGAGGGGAUCCUCAUAUAAUGUUACUUUGAAUCCUGAACUAGAUCACUCACAUUGACAUGAUUUAACUUAAGCAUCGAGUGUCUUUGAAGGUAUCCCUCUCGAACAUCCAAAAAAAAGUAACCGGAAUUGAAGAAAAGACAAGAAGAUUUCGGUAGGAGAUAUUCAGCCUCGCAUUAUGAAGACUAAUCUUUCACUUUCUUCUCUAUCUUUCUCAGUUAGCACAUAUUUUAAUGUCAUGUGAAGCUGGACUGAGAAACCAUAUUGGCAUUAACUAUUUUUCUGGCUGCUAAUUGUUAACCUCCAGAAAAUGUUGCAGGGAAUUGGAACAUGCUUCUCUUAGAAACCAAAGAUUAAUUGGGGCAAGAUCAGGCAUUAUACCACCCAUCAUCUUCAUUUUUGUGCAUAUGAAAUUAGUGUUUGCGUACUCCUUUUUACUUUGAUUUCUCUAAUAUCCGUUGAUUAUUGUCUUAAUAUAAUCUUCUUUCUCAAAAUCUUCUCUGCAUAUAUCAAUUUAGUGCAUCAGAAAUAAAAGGGAACAAUGCUCAAAUGUACAAUCCAAGUGUCUGUUUUAUCCGGAGGAAUAUAACUGAAGACUUUUAAAUAUGUACACAAUUUGUUUUUCCAUGAAAAAACAGCAUAAAAAAGGUGGGCUUGGUCGUGAUUGAAGUGCCAGUAGAAUUCACACUUGAAAGAUAUGAUUAGCUUUGAUGACAAAUUACAAUUUAGCUAGAAUAUUGUAGAAAUUGCUAUAAGAUAUGAGGAGGGAAGAAGAAUGAGUUUCAAAGAAAUUGAGAAUUCUGAUAUUUCAGGAAUCAGGAUAUUGAGUUUCUCCACCUUCUAGCAGUCUUUCUGUUCUGUUCUAACGAAUCUGGAAUCUUAGGAGAAUCAUCCUGAUUUUCUACUACAUUUGUGGUCCUUCCAAGUUUGCUGAGUUUCUUCCACCCACUGCUCCAUGCAGAAUUAUGUUUCUGCUUUACCAUCCUAUCAAAUUGUUUCUGCAAACUGAACAUGUCAUUUUGAAGCUCCAUGUAUUUAGCUUUCACACUCUCAAGCUCAAACUUUAGUGUGUUGAUGUCUUUUUUAGCAGCUGACCAUCCUUCUUGGAAUGAUUGUGGUGUCCCUUCUAGAAGUGUUUUCCGGUUUGUUACCAUUGCAUGGCUCUCAGAUUCAACAUCUUUCACAGAACUCGUGGCUAGUGCAUUGCUUAUCUUCACCUGUUCCGCGAAUAGAACUUGCACUACAACCCUUAAUGGAAGCCUUUCAUUUUGUGCAGCAUGCAGGCAUGCAUCAAUGGAGAGCUUCUGACAAUCCAUUACACGGCAGAGUCGUUUCCUCUCAUGCUCAGAAAGUGUUGGGUGUGCCUGUUAGUUUGUUACACAUGUAAGAAAUCCAUAGAAAUCCAUCGGAAAAGUACUAAACAUACCAACUCAUCCUUCUGCAAUCACUGAUUAGUCAAGCACUCCCCAACAAAGUUUCUCAGAAGUUCUUAUUUAUUUAUUUAUCAUCAUCAUAUUUGCCAAACCAACAAAUGUAAAACCUACCUUUUGUGAUUGUCUGUGUACAAAAGAAGAUUCUCAUUUGACCAUGGAGUUGUUUAAUUUUAUAUCCAGUGAUAAAUCUAAGACAUCGUAAAUAUCACCACAUACCAGAAAUAUUGUUUGUGAGGAUCAUGAAUAGUGUUUUAAUAAAUCAAAUGUAUUGCCACUGAAAGAAAGAUCCACCAAUCAACUUUUCCCUUUAUUGUGAUGAGAACAAGAGUCAUGCUAAAUUGGUAAGGUAGCAUCAAAUCCAAUAUUUUAUUUCAAAUUUCAAAUCCAGAUCAGGAGAAAGUGUUCUAUAGAUCACCAGAAUGUUUUACCAAAAUUUCAACUAUGCUGAGGUGAAAGUGUUAGGAUAGGAAACUGAAAAUUAUUAGAAAAAGAGGUUAAAACCUUUUUAUAUUAUUUUGCUAAGAAAUUACCUUGAGAUAGGAAUCAAUUGCUCUGUAAAGUCCAUCAUCACAGGUCCUAGCUGACUCAGGCAAGGCUUCUGCAAGUACCUGAAACUUGGUCAGGGAAAGGUUCCUAUCUCUGGAAACUUCUGUAAGAUAACUGUCAACUAGCCUUGCCACUCUUGCCUUGGCAUUUAGGAUACAUCCCAUUCCCAUAUGUUGUUUAUCAGAAAAAGACUGUCUGCUAGGACUCGAACUUUCAGUCUGUUCCUGAACAAUAAAAUGUUCUAACAGCCUCUGAACAAGAUCCACAUCAUACAUAGUUUCUCCUUUAGUAUAAGAAGGAAUCAGAAGAUCAGCCAGUGUAGCCUGUUCAAACUGCAUUCCCACCCUUUUCUCUAAUUCAGUGACCAGUGCAGGUGCAACCUUUAACAUGAUUGCCAUUCUCAGGAGCCUAAGAAGGAAACUGCACGAGACACUGUCCUUCUGAGGUGGAAUAAUGCUCACAAGGCUCUCAACGACCAUCCUUUGCUCUUUAGCUUGAACACUUGAACUGUCAUCUUUUGUUCCCAUCACAAUCAUAUGAAGUCCCCCUUUCCAGCUACUGCCACCACUACUACUACUGUUACUCACACUGCAGUUGCUUGCUUCAUCACCUGGGAUUGCUGUGUCACUGAUCAAUCCCGGUAGCCACUUAGUUGCAUAAUGCAUUAUUGCAGCACCAACCAAUUCAAAUCUCAUUCCCUUUACCUUAAUGGCAGUGAUGACUCUGACAAAGUGAUCAAUCCUAAGGAUUGAGGCAUCUUCAAACCACCAAUCAGGAGGAACCUGCUGGAUCCUACUUGGGCUUGAUUCCUUCAUGUCAUUCCAUGUUGGGCUAGAAAUUUUCGCUGGUCUUCCAGUGUAGGACCACCUUAUCCCUUUGGGAUUAGCACAAGCUUUCCAAGCAAUGGACUCGCUGCAUCUGCGAACAAUUUGAAGAUUCUCUGCCCAUGGUGACAGCUUCUCACAGCUUUUCAGCACUACUAUGGAGUCUCUCCAUGAAGAUAGAACAACAUAACUGAGGAACGCUUCUGCCUUGAAUAUAAGAUUCCCUUCCUCUAGGUCCUCUGUCAUUUCUAGGUACUCUGCAGCACAUCUUAGCCCUGAAAUGUUGCCUGCUGUUAAAUCAACAGCAACUCCAUAGCAGAACUUGGCUGCAAGCUCAAAAGCCUCUGUCCCACCAGGGAUAUCAUCCAUAACUACUUUAUUCAAAUCUGGGUUGUGCGCUUCAUAUAUGAUUCUACUCAGCUUUCCACUUCGAGAUACCAAGGGGUACUUUCACACCAAAGGGGAGAGACAAACACAAAAUUCAAUGGUACAAAUGAAUGAUUUCUGAUCACUGGAUAUAGAACAAAGGAAAUCAUGAAAGAAAAAUAAGAUAGCUACCUUGUGCAAGUGGAAGCUAGCUUCUCCAAUCUGAACUUGAAAGUCACUUGGAAUAUCAGUAGCAACAUGCCUGCAUGGAGAGAGAAAAUAUUUUUAAGCAGCUUUCAUGCUCUAUAAAUGAAACUUGUUCAAGACAUAGAAUGGACAAAAAUUAGAGAACUUCAAAUCUUAUUUUCUGUCCGUGUCCUACAAUUUAGAUUCACAAGAAUUAGCAGGGCAAAACAGUGGUUCUAACUUGUAACAUCUUCAAAAGGUACUGUGCUAAUUAUGCAUCUAACAUACCAAGAGUUUCCUCUUUGUACAAAUCCUUCUGUCUUGACACCAUGGUUACUUGAAGUAAGAAGUCCACCCCCAUAUUUGUGUCCUGCCGCUGACUCACUCUCAGAUUCCCACAUGCUGAAAACCAGAUUCACAGAAUGCAGUGCUGUAGAUUUUUGUUGGGACAGUACCUUCAACUGAGAGUCACAACCAGAAAGGAGAGGGGGCAGAGAAAAGGAGCAGAGUGACUAGGCAAGCACAGAAUUCAGUGAAAGGAGGAGGGAGCCACAUGGGAUGGUUGGAAACUUGGAAUUAUUAGUCAUGUUAAAGUUGUCGGUUUCUUCUCAAAAAAAAUUGAAGGAAGGACCUCUUACAGGCUGUGGUGAAAUGGGCAUAAUCAGUUUUAUUGUGAAUGUUUGUGUUUCUUCUAGCUUUGAAUAUUUCUACUCUGAGUCAAUGCUUAAAGACACCCAGUUUCAGUUUCUUUAUGCCUCACCAGUGUGACCACUGACCAUACAUGUCUGUUCCUUUUCAGCUCAGUUUCUUAUUACUGAAUUUCAUACAUCACAACCUCAGACCUUUGAACAGAAAAUUGGUCUGCAGUAACAGGAUUUUGGCCUUACGAUGUAGCCAAUUCAUUACCAAUGAUCCCACCUUUUGGCUUUUCUAUGUUUAAUCAGAGUCAAAGAAAAAAAAGAGAAACCUCUUAGUUAGCAUAAACAUAUCUAUCUAUCUAUCUUUUCCCCUACGAAUGAGGAUAAAUUUUGAAGAAAUAAAAGUGAAAGGAAAAACAAGUGGCGUGAAUGGAAGGCAAAAUGAGUGUAAUUUGUGGCAUAUGUUUUGUCCUACUGAUACCAACAUCGACAAUUGCCAUUUUCACAACUCUUCACAUUUGUAAUAACUGUUUGGUAUAUUUGCGAAUUACAAAUGAAUGAUUGGUUUAAGAUAACUGCAUCUCUCUGUAUUUUGAAAAAUGUUUUUUAUAUGAAUUUACAUUUCAAUAAAAGAUUAUUCAGAGCAAUUCGAUUGUUUUAACAAUUGUGUUUAUACUAGUUACACCUUCUAUAAAAUAAUAACUUUUAAUGAUUGGUGAUGGAGAUCCACGUCGAUUAGAGACGACGACAAUUCAUUCUAUAUAAGUGGGUGUAAAUCUCACCUCCCAUGAUGUCCGAUAGCGGGUGGCCUGAUAAGCCCAACAAACACUCGUUAGGAUAGGUUCGAAAUAACUCUAAUACCAUAUUAAGAAGUGGGUCUAACUCAACCCCAUAAAACUGGCAUAGGAUUGAGGUUUGCACCCACUUAUAUACAAUGAAAUGUCUUUAUCUCUAGUAGAUCUCUAUCAAUUAGUUUGAGAAAAUAGACAUGAAGAAUAAAUAAACUAAAAAAAUAAGAGUAAGAGAUAAAAUAAAAAAUUUAAUUGAUCGGUAGAGUUGAGUACAAAUAUAUAAAAAUAAAAGUAAAUACUUUAAUUAAUCUGAUAAAAAGAUUAAAUUUAACUCUCUCACCCUUUAACUUAAUCAUUAGAAAAGUCAUAUCAUUGCUAAGUAAACUUUUUACUAUUUUAAUAAUUUAUUUCUUUAAAUAUUAUUUUAUUUGAUAUAUAAACAAUCUUACACUUUCAUUUAGCAUGAAAGAGUGUGUAUAAUAAAUAUGCUAACUUAUAACAAUUAUUUGAAAAUUGACAAGGUAAAACCACUUUAAAAUACUGAAAUGAUCAUUAGACUCUUUAACUUUAGUAUUACACUUUUACUAUAUACUGAGCUCAUAAAUAAAAGUUCAAUAAACUCGUCUACAUACAUAUUCCUUUAUUUUAAAAUUAAAUUUUCUACAUAAGAAAAGCAACACUACGAAUGAGCAAAAAAGAUUAGAUUGUUUGGUGCAAGAAAUUUUUUGGAAUUUGAAAGAACAUGGGUAGAGAGACACGUUUGUCUCUUUAGGUGUACUUUAACUGGUUUUCACCACGAAAUAGAUUCCCCAAAUUGCAUGGAUUUAGUUUUGGUUCAUAUACCAAAAAGUUGUGAUAAAAUGAAUGAUAUGGUAAAUAAAAUAAUAAGGAAAAAGUUGAGAAAUUGAAUGAAUGAUUUGGUUUCUCCAAUUUUUUGUUUUGUUUUAUAUUUGGGUUUGAAAAAAAAAUGAAAGAAAAAACAAAUGUGAGGAAUAGAGAUUUAGAUGUGAUUCUUAAAGUCACAUCUGAUUUUGUUGGAACAACCCAUACUCAAAACUUCCCCACUCAAUUAGAUAUGCUUUGCCAUUAUAUGCACAAGCUGAAUCAUAGACACUGUGCAUUCUCAUAAUUUCUUUUUGGUUGGUACAACACUUUCAAAUUCCUUGAAAGAGAAAGACAAUUUGGUUGGUUCAACUUCUUCCGCGUUGCUUCCAACUCUUUCAUCCACACAUUCAUUCCUCUCCCAUAAACACAAACUCAAAAUUCACCUUUUAACAAUCCUACUGUAUUUUAGUUACUCAAGUAAAAUGUGAUUAAAGUACAAAUUAAUGCUAUAAUCAUAUGAUUAUAUGUGUGACUUUGUUGCGUAGUGUUCCGACAUAAGGGGAGUUUAUUCUUCUAAUUGAGGGGUUUGUGAUACAUUUUUCUUUUCACAGUUGGUGUUACUGUUUCGAUCUCAAGUUCUAGAGAAAGUAUUACUAUGAUUAACCAUUGCAUGUGAGGUAUUGUCCGUUUUGGAGAUCGGUGUUCCGUUACAGUUUUAUUUUUAAAAGACGUCUUGAUGAGAUAGAGAAGAAAAAAAUAUAUAAACUACUUAUAGUCUCGACUCCUAAACUCUGUGAAACUAUAUUGGACAAAACAAAUAAGAACAUGUAUCUUAAAAUUUUAAAAAAAUAAAAUAAAAUCUAUUGUUAUAAAGUUUUAGAUUAGAAGUAGUGUUUUAAUUUUUUUUUAUAUGAAAAUGUUCAUGAUUUAUUGGUGCUGGAUUAUCCAUAUGUUUUUUUUUACACAAAAGUAAUUUAACACUAUUGUGAUACUCAAAUACACACUAUCUUAAUGUUUUUAAUUGAAAGUAGUGUAUUGACCAUUUUUAUAUGAAAUGUUCAUAGUUCAUUGGUAACGAAUGACGUAAUAUUUUCUAAAAAAAGUUAAAGAAAAAUAGAAUUAGUAGUUUUCCUUAAUAUUAAAUAAAAUAAUGUUUUAUGGAUUAAUUUUUAUUUAUUUAUUAUGGUUCUUGGUAAUAUUUGGGCAAUGGGAGUAUUUAUGAAUUGAGAGUAGCAUAAUAUUGCAGCAUUUAUUGAAUUACCAGUGCAUGGAUUGUUUGGGCUCAUCCAUUAUUGCUUGGUUUUGAGCCCAGACUUGUUUAUAUUUGUGAAUGCUGCCAUUUAUAUAUGAACAAGCUUCCUCUUUAUUCAAUAAUACAAGAUGUUUUUAUAAAUUAUUCAUCGUUUAUUGAUUUAAUUAUGAUUAAAGUCAUGGUUUAUAUCCAUAAGAAGUAAUCUUAUAAGUUUUAAUAUUAAGUGAUGUAUUCAAAUCAUAAAAACUCAGGCAGAUAAAUUAUAAAAGAUAACAAUGAACAAUUAAUAAUAGCAAUGCAUAAACGAACAUUUUUAUCUUCAAAAAAGGAAAAGAAAUGGUGGCUAUAUUAUAAAUUUCAAAUGCAACAACAUUUGUUUAAACUUAAAUAGUUUAUCACAAUAAAAUAAAAAAUAUUUGAAUUUUAUUUUAGAUUAAUAAACUUAUUUAAAAUUCAUUUGAAUAAACUCAUGUGCAAAAUUAUAAUUUAAAAGAGAAUGGUUCAUAACAAACACACUCUACAACUCAUUCAUAAGAAAUGCAUGGCUUAUUAAAAAAAAUAUUAUAAUUAAAAACAUUCCGUAUUUAAAUUAAAAUACUUUUUUAAAUAAUAAUAAAAAUGUUAAUAAAACAUUCUAUAAGGCAUUCUAUAAUAAAACAUUCUAUAAAACAUUAGUAAAAAAAAAUUAAAUAAAAGAUUCCGUAUUCCAUACAAAAUUUCUCAUUAAUAAUAAUAAAAAGUAUUCUUCGAUAUUUUGAUUUCAAUUUUUUUACGGAAAUCAAUUAAUUGAAUUUUUUUCCUCAAUUAGAGAUGGUAAAUUAAUUUCAAUUUUUAUUACAAUUUCUAAUAACUGCUCGAUCUCAUAUAUUUACAGUGAUUCCAAAAGAUAAAUCAAUUUUCAGAUCUUGAUAAUUAAAUAUUAUUGUUUAUUAUUUUAUUUAUCAUAAUCAAGGUCAAAUAUCAUUUUGAUUUCGAUUUCAAUCCUAGAAAUAGAAAUUUUGAUCUUUCGUUUUCUUUUGUUCUUGAUUAAAGAAUAUUUUGAAUAUAAAAUUUAAACACAUUCAAUCAUGAACCAUAGUUUUAGGAGUAAAUUUAAUGUCGAUGAUAGUGAAGUGAAUUUAAUUUUGAAUAAAGAGAAAGGAUUUCGCUUUUAAAAUUGACUUUAAAAUUGAUUUUUAUAACUAACUUAUGAUUCUGGAAAUUAAAUGGGAUGAUAGAGUAAUGGGAUUCCUAAUUCAUGGCAAAACGCUUUAUACUAUUAUUAUUAUUAUUAUUAUUAUUAUAUAUAUAUAUAUAUAUAAACUUCAAUUCAGUGGAUUGAAACUUUAUAUUUUCCAUUUUCAUUUUUUAUUUCAAAUUUCAUAUGCCAAAUUUUAUAUUUGGACCAAAAGUUCUAUAUUACAAAACUUAUUUCAACUAGUUUCAGUUUACAACAAACAAGUGGAUCAUGUGGUGGACCCUUUAAAAAAUGAUAAUAUUUUAUUUACAUUAUCUUUAGAGAUAUUAUUUAGAAAUAAAAAAUGUUAAGAUAACAUUCUCCUUCAUUUUAAUAAUAUAAUAAUGUAUAUUAAUAUUUUAAAUAAAAAUAAAAAAUGUAAUCAAAAUAUUUAUAUUUUGAAUUAUCAAAUAAAUACAUUUUUAUAUGAAAUAUCUUCAUCCUUUUGUAAUAUAAGAGUUAAAAUAAGAUCAUAUAAACUUAUAAUUAGGAUAAGAUAUUUUUUUAAAGAAAUAAGUCAGACUUAAAUUCAUAGAAGAGUUUAUUUUAAAAAAUAUAUAAUUUUUGUUAUAAAUAUUUUUUUAUAUAUACUUUCAGCCUUAAAAAUAUUUUAUAUGGUUUGAUACAGAUUUUGGAGAUCUUUAUAUAAAUUAAAAGUAAAAAUAAAUUAUGGUAUAAAGUAAGUAUAAAGGUCAUUUCAUAAACAAACAAUUUUGUAAUAUUCUAUCAAAAUUCAAAAUUUAUUGUAACACAAUAUACUAAAUCCAUCACACUACUUAUCAGGUUGAGUUAAGCUUAGAAAUAAAUUUCAGAAAAUGGUAAAAUUCCCUAAAUUAUUUCUUACUUAUUUAUACUCAUGUUUCAAUUUCUUAUCUCAUUUUUUUAAUUUCUUUUAAACCAAACUAAUUUAAAUUUUACUCUUUUUAUUUGACAAUUUAUUUUCAUCCAACAUAAUUUUUAUUUAUUUUCAUGUCUAUCAAAGCAUUAGGCAUUCAACAUUUGCUUUGUACGUAUAAUAUUUCCAAGGCAAAAUUUCAUUUGCGAUUGAAAAAGUGUUCGCUUCUAAAAAAGAGUAUCAAAAUUUUGUUUAAAAAGAUGUCUUUGGUGCUUCACUAUUCAUGUACUUUGUCCAAUAGCAAAUGAAAGAAACUUAGGAUUAAUAUUUUUGUUUUCUUAAUGCAGAAUGUCCACUUUUAUUCUUUUAAUUGAAAAUUUGUAAAACAUAAAACACAGAAAAUAUGCUUUUUGUUUAAAAAAACAUUCAGGCAAAAAGGUAACACUAAAAGUUGGAAAAUAAUUUAACAAUUAAUGCAAAACACAUCCAAAUUCAUAGGAAUAAGUAUGAUAAUGACAGAAGCAUCACCACUAAAGGUUAGAAGCAGUGCAAUGGAAUCUUGUGCAUCCACCAUAGCCUUGCAAGACUUCAUUCCAUUCACCCUCUGAUCAAUUGCAAAUGAAAUAUAUUUUCUCUAGAGAAAGUUGUAAAAUUGAUCUCAAAUUUAUGAAUUCUACAUUACAUUCAAGCUCAGAGAACUCCCAGUUAAUCAUAUCCUGGACUGAGAUCAUUCUCAAUGAGAAUCUUAUUCAAAUUGUUGGCUAUUUCAGCUAAACCAAUGUUCCUAAAACCAACCAUAAUCUUUUUACAGGCAAGCAUAUCAAAAUCUGUGGUCGUGGAUUGCUUCCAUUGAUCAAUAAUUUCACUCACUUCUUUCGAAUGACCAAGUAUCAGAUAGGACGAAAUGAUACAGAUGUAAUUCCUGCUGAUCAUUUUCUGUUUGGUCAUUCUCAAGGAAUUCCAUAUCUGAUCAAGUUUAUCCUUACUUCCCAACCCACCAUAAAGAAUGAUCAAGAAGUCAUAAGUUAUCCAUUGCCCUUGUGUGAUCCUUUUCUCAGUCUCAACAAGUGUGUUGGAACUUGCAUUACCAAGAUGACCUACACUAAUAUACAUAUUGGCCAGGUUCAAAUAUCUGAUCCAACUUUCAUUAGAACCAGUACCAUGACUCAUUUCAUCAAGAAUCCUCCUAACCUCAUCAAUAUUAAGAAUAGCGGCACACGAACUUAUCCAUAGAUUAUAGGUAAAGAUAUCAGGGGAAACCUUUUGUUGUUUCAGUUCUUCAACAACCGAAGGGACCUUUUCAAACUGGCCCACUGACAUGUAAAGAGUCAUCAUUUCAUUGUAAGUAAGGGCAUCAAAGCAGAGGUUUGAAUCCUUUAUCCUUUGAUAAAGUUCCUCAGCCUUGUCAGUCAAUUUCGCUCCUGCAUAAGAAUGUAGGAGGGCUGUGUAAGUUUCAGUAGUCUUUGUCGCAAGAGGUAGACCCUCAAAAUAGCGCUCUGCAGCAUCAAUGCCAAAAACUUUGCACAUCAAAUCUAUGCGCACUGCAUAAUCAGAGUCUGAUAACUCGUAUUGCUCAUGGCUAACCAUCCAUUCUGAUAUCUGCAAUCAUCACUAGUCACAAAUUGCAAAGCUAUACACCCAAUAGAAAAUGAAUGCGGUAUCAUAAAUCAUCACCAUCAUAAUAAUAAUAACAAUAAUAAGUGUUCCAAAUUGGAUGCAAUCUAAUCACUAGAGAAGGAAAAAUAAAUAAAACUGGUAUGGCUGAGCAUUAGAAUUUGGAAGUAUUAGAAAUUGAUAGAGAUUUGUAGUUUGUUGGAGGAAAAACUAAUAUAUGAAAUUACGCAGAAUCAGAAAAGUCAGGAAUAAGUAACAUCCAAAUAAUAAUAUUAAUUCAGAUAUAUUCACUUCAGGAAACUUCUCGAGUUGUUAUAACCUCAUUUGCCAAAAGCCACAGUACUGAACAACAUUUUCAUUCCAACAAUUAUAGGCACUAUAGAAAUAAGUAAACCGAACUACCUAAUGAUCAUUCUUUCUUCUUCAGAACCUUACAAAAGCUACAAAUAAUUUAGUAAAUUACACUCACAUGCCUUACUACAGAAAUUCACACCAAAUUCUGGGGUAAUAGGGGUAUCAACGCAAUGGAUUUAAACCGAUUAAGAGGGGUUAUUGUCCGAAAAAAGACAGGAGUGUCGGUGUGAGUUUAAAAAACUCAGUGAUGUUAGCAUAAUUUACUCUUAAUAAUAACCAUUUGUGACUUGGAAAUUCAGCAUCAUGCUCUAAUCUGUUUAAACAGAAAUAAGACCCAAAAGCUUGCAUGAUUGGCUAGAUGACUUUUUACAGAUUUUUGUUUCUACUUCAUCCAAACCAUUUGUGAAAAUUUAAUUCACCAUGACAGAACUAUAUAAACUUUGCAGUACUUAGGUAGCUAAAAUGUUUUAAACUCGAAUCCUGUGUAUUGCUCUAAUUUAGCUAUCAUAAUGGAAAGAGGUUAUGAAUGAGAAAAGAAAGGGUGAAACCUCCAAAGCGUGUUUGUAACGUUGAGAUCUUCGAAGCUCUUUGGAAAUAUCCCGAAGCUGAGAGAGCGUAACAGUAUUCCCCUGAAGGACCCAUUUCUGAAGAAUGUUGGUGGCGCUUCGCUUGGGGAGCCUUAGCCUCAAGAUUAUGCUCCUUAGGUCAUCACCUUCCACACUCUCUUCCACUAAAUCACUGCUCACAACACCCGAAGACGCAAAUCUCGUUCUGUUCAGGACACAAGCUAAACCGCUACUUCUGCAUGAUGAAAAGAUGCAAUUUUGAGAUUAAUUACCCAUACCCAACAACUCAAAUAUGAUUGGUUGCAGAGAAAGUGUGGAACGUGGUUCUGAUCCGAGUCUGGGGGUCAGAAAAUCAAUUAAGAUGCAGAAUCAUAAAAAAAAAAAUUGCAAUUUUGGGUUCUGUUUUGUGGGGAAGCAGUAGGGGAAUGUGAAAAAUGGGCUUACCGUCUGAGAGAGAGGAAAAGUGAGCGUUGCGCCAUUGGCGGCGUUUCUCAGUUGCUCGCUUCUUCACCUCCUUCUUCUUCUUUCCAAGUACUAAGUCCUUAAUUAUGUGAAAUUUUUAUUUUAUAUAAAAAUUACUAAAAUUGGUGCAAAGCAUGUUUUGUAAACAUGAGUUAAAUUAAAAAUAAAAAUAUUACAAGAAUUAAAGUUGGACAAAAAAAUGUGUAAUCGGGGGUUGCUUAUUCUUUCACCUCCAUCAUCAAUUGUUCUAGUAGACCAAAUGUGAAAAUAUAUGUUUAUUUUUUCAGAAGAAGCUUUUAAAUUAUGUAAUCUGAAACAUACUUUAAAAAAUAUAUUUUAAAUUACAAAAUUUAAAAAUUAUUUCUAAUUCAAAAAAUAUUUUGAAUUAUGUAAUAUAAAAUGUAUUUUUAAAAAAAUUAGGAAAAAACUUAUAUAUUAUGGAAUUUAGAAUAUAUAUUUUUAAAAAAUAUUUCUGAAAAUUUACUAAUCUAAAAAAAUUUCACAGAUUAUAAAUUUAUUUUUAAAUUACGUAAUCUAAAAUAUAUUUAAGAAAAAUAAGUUUUAAAUUAUAUAAUUCAAAAUAUAAUUUUGUAUUAUAGAUUAACUAAUCUAAAACAUUUCACUAGAUUUAGGAACAUGUUUUUCUGAGUUUCCUAAUCAAAAAAUACACAAACAUCUCAAUUAAUAUCGAUUCAAAAAGUUACUGGAAUACAAAAUCUGAAAUAUAUAGAAAGCAAACAUCUACAACAAAACAAAACCUUCAAACAUUUUAACUUUUUUACAAAAGGAUAUUUUUGGAAUUAUGAAAUUUGUGGGGGUGCUGCAAUAACCUAUGAAAGGGUAGGAAGAAGCAACUAUAAUUGGGUUAUUAUUUUGGGCCUGAUGUGGAGUGGCCCAGCCCAGUGUAGAGGAGGAAGUGAGUCCUUUUAAUCAAAACCCUGGUUGAGAGUUUGCAGCCUCAGUCCUAAAACCCUACAUUCAGCAUGUCUCAGUCGGAGAGCAAGAAGAAGAAGGAGCGCGGCAGCGGCAAGGUGGUGGAAGAGGAACAAGCAGGCAAAGAUGAGGGGUUGAUGAUAAAGCCUCAGAGCUUCACUCCCCCAAUCGACACCUCCCAAUGGCCCAUUCUCCUCAAAAACUACGACCGCCUCAACGUCCGCACCGGCCACUACACCCCCAUCCCCUCCGGCUACUCCCCCCUCAAACGCCCCCUCGCCGAAUACCUCAAAUACGGCGUCAUCAACCUCGACAAGCCCGCCAACCCCUCCUCCCACGAGGUCGUCGCCUGGAUCAAGCGCCUCCUCCGCGUCGAGAAGACUGGUCACUCCGGUACCCUCGAUCCCAAGGUCACCGGCAAUCUCAUUGUCUGCAUCGACCGCGCCACCCGCCUUGUCAAGUCCCAGCAGGGUGCCGGCAAGGAAUACGUUUGCAUCGCCCGCCUCCACUCUGCCGUGCCCGACGUCUCCAAGGUCGCACGCGCCCUGGAGACCCUCACCGGCGCCGUCUUUCAGCGCCCGCCCUUGAUCUCCGCCGUCAAACGCCAGCUCCGCAUUCGGACCAUCUAUGAAAGUAAGCUCCUUGAGUAUGACCCUGAUAGGCACUUGGUUGUUUUCUGGAUUUCGUGUGAGGCUGGGACUUAUGUUAGGACUAUGUGUGUUCAUUUGGGGUUGCUUCUUGGUGUGGGUAGCCAUAUGCAAGAGCUUAGGAGGGUUCGGUCUGGGAUCAUGGGGGAGAAGGAUAACAUGGUGAGCAUGCAUGAUGUUAUGGAUGCUCAGUGGGUUUUUGAUAAUUUUAGGGAUGAGAGUUAUUUGAGAAGGGCUGUUAUGCCCUUGGAGGUUCUUUUGACUAGCUAUAAGAGGCUGGUUGUUAAGGACUCUGCUGUGAAUGCUAUUUGCUAUGGUGCUAAGUUGAUGAUUCCUGGGUUGCUUAGGUUUGAGAAUGAUAUUGAUGUUGGGGAGGAGGUUGUGCUUAUGACCACCAAGGGGGAGGCUAUUGCUCUUGGGAUUGCUGAGAUGACUACUGCUGUUAUGGCCACUUGUGAUCAUGGGGUUGUGGCCAAGAUCAAGAGGGUUGUCAUGGAUAGGGAUACUUAUCCAAGGAAAUGGGGGUUGGGUCCUAGGGCUUCCAUGAAAAAGAAGCUUAUUUCUCAAGGGAUGCUGGAUAAGCAUGGGAAGCCCAAUGAGAAGACCCCCCAGGAGUGGCUUAGGAAUCUUGUUUUGCCCACUGGUGGGGAUAGUGUGAUUGCUGGUAUGGCUGCUGCGCCUGAACCUGAGGAUGAGAAGGACGGAGAUGGCGAAGGACGGAAGAGGAAGAAGCAUGAGAGCACUGAUAGCCCAGUUUCGGUCCCUGCUAAGAAGGCGAAAGUAGAUGUAGAAGAGGUAGAUGUCAAGAAGGUGGCUGAUGAGACUGUGGAGGUUGAAGUUGACAAAAAAGAGAAGAAAAAGAAGAAGAAGAAGGACAAGGAUAACAGUGAAGUUGCCUCUUCAGAUGAGGAGAAAACUGAGAAGAAGAAGAAGCAUAAGGAUAAGGUUGAAGACGGUUCACCGGAGUUAGAAAAGUCUGAGAAGAAAAAGAAGAAGAAGAAAGACAAAGAAGCUGCUGCUGCUGAAAUUAGCAAUGGAAAGGAAGAUGAGAGUAAUGCUGAUAAGAGUGAAAAGAAGAAGCAUAAGAAAAAGAAAAACAAAGAUGCAGAGGAAGAAUAGAUUUGUGUUUGGCUAAAUGGACUCUUUAUGUAACGCCUAUUUUCUUGAUCUUUUAAAAUUUCGCGUUGGAUUAGUGUGUUGUUGGUCAAGAUUUUGGUAGUUUUUUAUAUGCUUUUUCUCUUAAUUUUUCCAUUUACUAUGUUUGUAUCAUCUUCUUUAGCGUUUAAUAGAUCUCCUACAAUUUCUCCAUAAUCCUUUGACAAAUUGACAUGUUUUUCUGCUCAGAUACAUAGCUUUUCCACAUACAUAAGCUGUGACGAAUUUGUUUAUGGAGAAUUUUGCAGUGUAUUUGCCCUGUUUCCUGCUGGAACAUGGUGCCAGCAUACAUGAGCAUUUCAGGUUCUUUGCGAACACACUUUAAAAAGGUCCUUUUGUUACUUUAUAAAUAAUAAAUAAUUUAGUUUUUAAAAAUUAAAUUAAUAUAGUAAUUCAAAGAUAGUAUUUUUUAAGAAAACAGUGUACUUUUUAUCAAUUUAUUUAUAAAUCUAGUGAUUUACUCAUUCUAAUUGCAAAUACAAUGGCAAUAAUAAACUGAGACGCGGGAACUUCAAAAGCAGAUAAAAGGGUGUGAACAUGAGGAAAUAUCAUAUUUAUAAUUCAAUCAUAAAAAUCAUAUUUCUAAUUCAAUCAUAAAAGGCUACGAAAUAGUUUUUAGUUUGUUCAAAUUUGUUUCGUCUGAAAACAUAUUCUCGAAAAGCCACAAGUAAUUUAGAACAAAAAGUAAACAUUACCAACAAAGUACUAUAAAAAGAAGAACUCGGAAUUGUUUGGUUUAGCGAAGGUAAGAGGAUAAGAUGGAUUUUAAUGAAGCGAAAAGGAAAAGAUGAGAGAGAUUUUAAUUCAUUGCUUAGCUCUGACGGGAGUGGAAAAAAAUUUAAAACAUAUCUUCUAAUUUUACAUUUCAAAAUGUAAAUAUGACUACUUUUGUUAAUACUUUUGAGUUGAGAUGUUCCGAAUCUUCUCCCCACCAAGACAACCAAUCACUUCUAAAUUUUACAUAAUUUAUCACUUUUAAAUUAUAUAAUCCGAAAUCUAUUUAACAACUCACAAUAUUGAAUUAUGUAAUCCAAAACUUAAUUAAGAAAAUAAAUCUAAGAAAGUAAAAAAAAAAAAAUUUAUUCGUAAUUUAUAACCUAUUUUAUUAAAUAAGUUUAAGAUUAUGUAAUUCAGUACUAUUAGUUGUUAAAUAGAUUCUGGAUUAUAUAACUUAGAGGCUCUAGGGUCUAGAGGGUCUAGGGACUAGAGGGUCUAGGGUCUAGAGGGUCUAGGGUAUAGAGGGUCUAGGGACUGGAGGGUCUAGAGGGUCUAGGGACUAGAGGGUCUAUGGACUAGAAGGUCUAGGGUCUAGAGGGUCUAGGGUCUAGAGGGUCUAGGGACUAGAGGGUCUAGGGUCUAGAGGGUCUAGGGUCUAGGGACUAGAGGGUCUAGGGUCUAGAGGGUCUAGGGACUAGAGGGUCUAGGGUAGAGGGUCUAGGGUCUAGAGGGUCUAGGGUCUAGAGGGUCUAGGGACUAGAGGGUCUGGGGUCUAGAGGGUCUGGCGUCUAGAGGGUCUGGGGUCUAGAGGGUCUACGGUCUAGAGGGUCUCGGGUUUAGGGGUAGAAUUUCAAAUUUCGUAUUCCGGUAGGUUUAUUAUUCAUAGUAUAAAAUAUUGUUUUUAUUUUUAUCUGUAUAUUGAAGGAUAAUUUUGAAAAUUUCAAAACUUUUGGGGAUAACUUAAAGAGGGAUGGAGGUGCAGGAAGAAGCAGUUCCAAUAAAAGGGUAGUUUUGGGCCUAGCCUACUAAUAGAGUGAAGACAUGCUUAGCCCACUAAUAGAGUGAAGAUAGACCUAAAAAAGAUGGUUUGAUCAUGGCAGAAUAACAAUUUGACUCGAAAUCACUAAUUUUAGUGAAACUAAAUAUUCUAAUUGGAGAUACUCCUCUUGAUUAUAACACUAGUUUUUUUUACUUUUUUUAAUAUUAAACCAAACAAUUGGAAAAGCUCUUCCACUAAACUCUGUUUCACUCGACCAAACCUCGGAACAAAAAGUCUUUACAAAUUCACCACCAAGAACCUAAAACAAGUUAGUCAAAGAAAAGGAAGUGAAGUUCACAUGGAGGAAUUAUUGAUCUUUAAAAUUUUAUGCACAGAUCCACGAAACCUUGUAUUCAUCUUCCAUCAAUUGCAAGUCAGGAUGAAUUUAAAACGAUUUGGAGCAGGAUUUCAUUGAUUUGUUAGAUCUUCAAUUCUACUUAUCUGCAUCACUGUGUGUUGACACUAGCAUCAGCACAAUUUCAUGUGAAGACGACACCAUCCAAGCAAAAUUCAACAUUACAUUUAUUUGCAACUUACAGAUUUACAUACACUUGAGUAUCACAUAAGUUGCCUCAUGCAGAAAUCAAAAAUUGAAGCUCUCACCUUGUAGAGAGUUACAUGUACAUUUUACUUGCCAAUUUAUCAAGUACUACUAAAAGCUUCUCAGAGAACCAUUUGGCUUCUUCUGAUUGCGACCGUACCAGGACAGAAGGUACUUCCCAUUGUAGGACUGUGACCUUUUCAUUGAAGAACUAGGAGCACCCUGCAGAUACCUAGUUAAUCUGAAAGAAGAGCUACCCUUGAAAGUGGUAGCCAAAUCGUUUCCAAAACCCCCCUUUGAAGAAGAACCAGCAUCAUCCAGCACCCUUUUUGAGCUACCAUUAGAUCCUACUGUGGCAAGAGCACGGUUGAUAUUUGCAACAGAAAAGGAAUCCAGAGAAACAGAUCUUCUAGGAAGAAUGUAGGGCACCUCUUCAACUGGGGUUUCAGUUUCACAAACCCUAACUCCAUCUUCACCCUCCACUCUGCCUUCUUCCUCUGCCCUGUUCCCCAAUUCAGAAUCAGAAGCACUAUUUUCCAAAAUUUCCACAUGGCUAUCUCCAAAGGAUUCUGAAUCAAGAAAAGUAGAGUCCAACCUAGCAGUUGCAAGGUCAGAAACAAUGGGGGCCCGGCAUAUGGGACAAUUGGUAUGAGACCUAAGCCAUGUAUCAAUACAAGGUAAAUGAAAAGCAUGGUAGCAUUUAGGCAAAAGUCUGAGAUUCUCAUCCUCUUCAAACUCGCUCAAGCAAACAGCACACUCGGUUCCUUCGAUCAAGCCCUCACCUUUCUUAUACCUACAAACUGUGAUGGCACUGAUAAUCGAUUGCUGAAGGCCAAGGGUGCGGAUAUACCAUAUGGGGUGGUCCACCAUAGCUCCGUGCUCUUCAUCAACAAAAUCACCACCACCUCUGCUCUCCGGUUGGUGCCUCGAUGGCACCCUCCUCCUUGAGCUGAACCUGGUGUAGAUGGUGCGACAACAAACAACAAAGAAAGCAAUUGUUAGAAUCGCAAGAGCAAGGAACAAAUAGGUGGCUAUUCUGUGGCUGCUGGAUUCAUCUACGCCGCCGUUAUCUAGAUUGAAAGGCGGAAGUUGUGGCGGCGGCGGCGGCGCCGCCGGAGGAGAAUCAUAAUUAGGGUAUUGGGGAUUGGUGAGGCAGAUCCUGAGGCAAAUUUCGCAAUCUGGUGAACAAGCCUCAGACUUCUUGACAUGACAAAGUGAGGCACAGAGUUGUGGCAAUGGCGUCAUCAAGUUUGUGAGAUGACGCAGACCCAUUUGAUAGAUCGGGAAGAAAAGAAGAGGUGAAAUCAGCAUCAGAAUUCAGAGUGAAGAAGAAGAAGAAGAAGAUAAUGAUCAUGACAUCAAGUCUCAAACUUUGACUUCAAACCAUCCAUCACAGUUUUGUCUCUCAAGAUGUUCACAUCCUACUGGUAGCAGUUGCAUUCAAUAAUAAAAUUAUAAUAAAAUUAUGCCAUCACACACUUUUUUUUUAAUUAAUUCAAAUUAUAAAAUAAAAUAUAUUCAUUCAUUGAAUUGUAAAAUUGACCAUUUUUUUCUAUUUUAGAUUUUAUAUUGAAUUGUAAAAUUUAUGAGAAAUUUUUAUCACAACCUGCUACAUAAUAAUUGAAUAUUGUAAGUUUUUAUUAAUAAUGAAAAAAAAAUAUUAAAAAUGUUAUGAUAUAAGCAUUAAUGUAAUUUAAUCUUUUAUGGUGGUUUAAUUUUAUAAUAAAUAACGUAUUGAAUAGAGUUGACUAAUUAACUGAAAUUAAGGCCACGCAUUUACUUUUCUAACGUUCACCACUCGUGGGUCGGCCAGCUUUAACUUUCAAAAAAUGUUUGUUUUAUAUUAUAAUAAAUAUAAAAUGAAAUUAAAAGGUCAAACUUUUACUUUUAAAAAAUAAUUAAUUUAUUAAAUAGUAUUUAGUAUUGAGAUUAUAGAAAUCUUUUUCCGUUAGCCAAAAAUAAACGUUAAAUUUUAUGAGUUGAAUGUAAAAAAAAAAAAUCUAAAAAUAUAUACAUAAACGAAAAAACAAAGUUUGGUUCUUUGUGUGAUGAUUCCGAGUGUUGGGUUUUUGUUGAAAGUUGGAUUUCAUUUUCAUGACGUUAAAGGUCAAUAAAAUAUUCAAAUCUCAACAAAAAAUGCUUAAAGACUAUGAAAGGUACAUGUGAAGUUAAUUGUAUUUUUGAACUGGUAUUUAAAUGAUUUUUUUUUUAUAGAAUAAGAAGUAUAUUUGGUAAAGAUUUUUUUUUGACGAAAUGAAAAUUUUAUUAAAUUCCUGUAAAUCCUUAAUUUUAGAUAUAUUUGUUUUAAUUUUUUUAUUUGAUGUUGUUUUGAUUUAUGAGAUUUCUAUAUUCUAAUAUGUUGUUAUUUAUCAGAUGGUUUCUUUCAAUUUGAUUGAAUUAAAACAAUAAUGAUUUGAGUUAUAUAUGCGACAGCACUUGUUUAUAUUGAAAAAUUGUUUGUUUUUAUUUAAUUAAAAUCAAAUAAAAUUGCCCCUUCCCUUCAUCUCAUAAUAAAUAUCACUUAAAACAUAAAAUAUUUCAUAUUAAAUGGUGUUUAAGUUUUUAAAGAAACAUUAAAUUCUUUUAUUGUAAUUUAUUCCCCGAUAAAUAUAAUGACAUGGUGAUUUGCAUGUAUUGUCUUGAGGAAAAGUCUGGUCAGAAGUGAUUUUUCAAAAAAAAAAAAAUAAUAUAAAAAUAUUUUUCUUGUUUUCAGAAAUAUAUUUUAUUUUUCAUUCAAAUUUAAGGAGAAAAAUAUUUUUUUUUAUUAAUAUAUUUUUCAUUUUUUAAUAUGAUAUUAUUUAUUAAUUUAAGUAACUCAAUAUUUUUAAAAAUUACAAUUUUAUAAUAAAAAAUAUUUCGUAAUUAUGUUUCAAAGUAUAAAUAUACUGAAAAAGAAAUCUUAAUUUGAAGGAAUGUAUUAAUUUAAAAAAUAUUUUAUUUACAAAAAAAAUAAGUAAUAAAUAUAUGAGUAAUUUUCUAAUCAUAUAAUUACUUAACAUUAAUUAAUUUAUUAUUUUUUUAAAAUAAUAAUUUUCCUUUAUUUUUAUACUACUCUUAUUCUCAAAUCAAUAUAGUAAAUUUUUCAUUCUAUUUCUUUACUUUCUUUUCUCACAUUUUAUUUCUUUUUCCUUCAUUGUAAAUGAAAAGUGUUAGAGGUAAUUCAAUAAAAAUUACUCCACUCAUUAAGUUAUUUAUUAAUUUACAGUAUUGAGAAAAACAACUUUAACAUAACUUAUUUUUAAGUUGAAUAAUAUUUUAUAUAUAACGGGGUUAGCACAAUUAUCAAAGAUGAUAAAAUAAGUUGUAGUCCGAGUUAGUGAAUAAUGAAGAUUUUAACACUUUAAUUAAACUUAAUUUGUUUUAAUAAUCAUAUUGUUGUCCUAUUCAGGUCUCAUAAUUCGGUAACAUUCCUAAUUUUGGAAGGAAAGCUAAAAUUCAUUCAUUUUCAAAUCACUAUAACUAUUUUAAAUUAACUAUUGAUUAAAAAUUGUGUAUUUUUAAAAUUUGAUGUCUAAAGAUAUAAAAACAUAUCAUAAUAUAUAACUAGAUAAUAUAUAAACAUUAUCUUAAGUUAAAGUUAUAAUAUUGAGUUAAGUUUAAAUUUCACACUAAUAUUAGAACAUAUUCUAUGUUCUAUAUUCUAACAUAUAUCAAAUUAUAAAUAUAUAGAGAGUAUCUCUUACAAAUUGGAAAAUUUUGAAAGGUAAAAAUAUUUUCAUUUGGUCUUAAUUUCAAAUCUCAUUUAAGUAAAAAAUUAUUAGUUUAUUUGAACGGUGCAGAAGUAGUUUUGGUGUAGAAAAAUGUGACAUUUGUCUGAAGAUAAUAACGAAAUCCUUUGCAUGAACGAAGGGGUAAAUAAUUAAAUGUGUGUGUAGAAGAAACAAAAAGGAAAAGGAAGAAAACAAAAGAAAAGAAAAAAAAAAGAAGUGUCUUAAGGAAUGGUUGUUUGGUUGCGACCAAAAGACUUGAAUUUGAGUCUUCUUUUGUCCUCUCUCGUUAACCAAUUACAAUGGACUCUUACAAAAUAUGAUGUUUCACUGAAAAUGAUAUCUUAAUAUAAAAAUAUCAUUUCUAGAGUACUUCAAUUUUUAUUUUCAAUUCUUGGUAUAUAAAAGAGAAAUUACAAAAUAAUUAAUUAAUACACUAAUGUAAAAAACACAACAUAUAAUAUUUAUAAGAAGAGAGUUAAUAUGAAUUUAAUUUUAACCCUAAAUAAAACUUAAUACAAGUUAUUAAUUGGACCAAUAUAUUAUAACUAAAUUUUACCACGUUUAUAAUUUUAUUACAAUUAUAUUACUGCCUCAUUUACUAUAACUGAUAAAUUAAAACUGUUAUAGUAACUUGUCAUCAAAUAUAAUUUUUCUAUUAAUAAUAGUUUAAGAUAAUAUAAAAUAUUAUGAUUAAUUAAUUAUUACAUGAAAAAUUAUAAUAAAAAAACACAAACUGAACAAUGAAAACUUCAAUUUAUGGUAUAAAACUCAUUUUACUGAUAGAAAUAUUUUGACUAGUUAAAAACUAGUACAAUAUAUGGUGUUGUUAAUUAAAGUCGUGAUAGUUCAAAUCUUCAUUGAUUAAAACUGAGAUAUUAAUAAUAUUUGUUGAUAACAAAACGUAUAUUAUUAGAUAGUUAUGAUUUUUUUAUAAUUUUUUUUUAAUUUGAUUUAUAAAAGUGAUUAAUAUAUUUUUGUGAUUUUAACAUGUAAUAGUAGUUGAAUGGUGAACAGUUUAAUGUAUACUAUUGAUAAAUCGUUGAAUAGAUAAAACUAAUAUAAAAAUCGCAAAAUAGGUAAAAAAAAA
RNAcentral lists this long non-coding RNA (50412 nucleotides) under Phaseolus vulgaris (common bean). Its description in RNAcentral is "long non-coding RNA (PVUL_LNC002784)". Lineage: Eukaryota; Viridiplantae; Streptophyta; Magnoliopsida; Fabales; Fabaceae. The record is from RNAcentral.